This 45269-nucleotide long non-coding RNA is filed under the name Vitis vinifera (wine grape). Its description in RNAcentral is "long non-coding RNA (VVIN_LNC001197)". Lineage: Eukaryota; Viridiplantae; Streptophyta; Magnoliopsida; Vitales; Vitaceae. The record is from RNAcentral.
UUUUUCUAGGUAUAGCAAGCUUACCUUCCUCCUUGUGUGAAGGUCCUUAUAUAUAGUGUCAGAAGCUCUGUCUCCCUCUUUAAUGAUGGGAAGACUUUUUGGCUCGUCAUGAUGCCUUUAGGUGGUGGCAGAGUCAUCAUCACUCUAUAGAUGACUAUCAGAGAUCGUGGGAGGCGACUUGCCAUCAUUCCUGUCCUUUCGCUCUGCAGGCAGCGGAACGUGGGCUGUGGCAAGCUGUCAGAAUGAUGUAGCAAGACUUGCUCACUUCGGUCAAUGAUCCGGAUAGGAUAUGUUAUCGUCCGGGUGUGACAUUCGCGAGUGACGUGUGCUUCUUCUUGAGGGAGUCCGGAUAGAGGAGCGCGCCAUGUGUCCCUCUUUGGGGAGUUUGGAUAGAGUUGCUCCGGAUAGCAAAGCGCGCUACGUGUUUAUCAGGGGGAGGGGUCCCUACAGUGUUGUACACAUGUAAGCAAGUUUGUUAGUGGGUAGAAACGUGGUAUAAAUAUUGAGGUUUGCACCGUAAAGAAAAGAACAGAGGAUUUAAUAAGAACUUCUUCCAGAUUUCUCCUGGGUCUUUUUCUCUUUAUUCUCUCAGUUCUAAUAAGCAUCAAUGGAGCCAACAACUGUAGAGUCUUUCCCUUCUGAGACUCAAACCAGGCUUCAUCCCAGUUUCGUACUCGACGAGGAGGAGCGUCCCAAGGUGGCAUACAACCAUUUCAGCGACGCCAUUCCCGUGAUAUCUCUCGCCGGUAUCGAUGAAGCCGAUGGCCGUAGGUUGGACAUUUGCCAGAAAAUUGUGGAGGCGUGUGAGGAGUGGGGGAUCUUCCAAGUGGUUGAUCAUGGCGUUGAUUCUCAUCUCAUUUCAGAGAUGUUUCGUCUCUUUGGAGAGUUCUUCGCUCUUCCUCCAGAUGAGAAACUUCGAUUUGACAUGUCAAGCAGCAAAAAAGGCGGUUUUCUUGUCUCUAGCCACCUUCGAGUAAUCUUCCAUCUAUCACAUUUUUCUUCUCCACAACUCAAUUGAAAAAUUAUGUCUUCUCUUUUCUCUGUAUCUUCAAUUUAAACAUGCUCGAAUUAACCAUUCAAUUACAGGGAGAAGCGGUGCACAAUUGGCGGGAGUUUUUAACUUACUUCUCAUACCCACUUCGGGAGAGGGACUACUCAAUGUGGCCGGAAAAGCCGGAGGGAUUGACGGCAGUGAUGAAGGAGUACAGCGAGAAGCUCAUGGGUUUGGCAUGCAAGUUGCUGGAGGUGAUGUCUGAGGCUAUGGGUUUGGAGAAGGAGGCCUUGUUUAAGGCCUGUGUGGACAUAGACCAGAAGGUGUUUGUAAUGACCGGGCAUUUUAUGCCACGUUAGCAAUUUUAGUUUGAAAAGUCUUAAUUUAUGUGAUGGUUGAAAAGUCAAAAAGAAAAGCGUUUGGAGAACACGUGUCAAUUUCGGAUUGGUGAAUUUCGUUUUAUUGCGUCGGUCAAUUAAACGAGUUGAAAUUUUAUGCCAUGUCAGCCUUAGGAUAGAAAAUUCUUAGGAUUUUAGAAAUUGGAAAUUUACGGGAACGAAAAACGAAAACGAAAAAUGAAAAAUAAAUCAAUUAAGAUUAAUUAGAAUUAAUUAAGAAAAAUUAAUUAAUUAAUUAAAUUAAAUUGAUGAAUAAUAAUAUUGAGAAAAUUAGUUUUUAUUUGGUGUUAAUAAAUAAAAUUGUGUGUUAAAAUGAAAAAAAAAUGAAUGAAAAAUGAAUUGGAAAUUAAAUAAAACAAUUAGAAUAAAGAAAAGAAAUAAUAACAAUAAUAAUGGAUUGGGCUUAGUUUUUGAGUUGGGCUUGGAGCAAGUGGGCUGGUGGUUUUUUUUUAAAAAAAAGCCAUGUGAAGUGGGCUGGGCUGUUAGUAAAAAAAAAAAAAAAAAAAGGAAAAGGGAGAGAACUGGCAGUAGCACGCACGCGGGAGAGAGAAACAGAAAAGGGCACUGUGCAAAUUAGGGCACUUGCCGGAAUUUUGAUCGGACGUUUGGACGGCCAAACGAUCUCCGUUUCGGCCCAAAUUCGGAGGAAGUACUCUAUUCGACUAGACGAACAAGCCUGCGGUGGCUGAUUUUGUUUUUAACGGUCAAAUUUUCAGAUCUGAGGUAGGGGACCCUAACCCUAAAACUUAAAUUUUUAUGUUUUUCCCUUGGAAAAAAAUUAUAGAUAUUGUCAUUUUGAGUUAAUUAGGAAUUAUAAGUGUUGUAUGAAUUUUUCUAGAAUAUUUGGGAUUUGUUUGGAAUUUUUGGAAUUUCGGGAAAUUGAUUUUGAUUGAUAAUUAAUUGUUUUGAAAGGUUAAAAAUUAUUAGAUGGGUUGGAAAAUUCCAAAAUUUGGGUUAAAUUUUAAAUAUAAUGAUUUGUGAAUUUUUAGGCAUUGGUUAGAAUAUUUUCGAAAAUUUUAGGGUAAAUAGUUAGUUAAUUUUGGAUAUUAGAAAUUAUUAUAAUGGUUGAAAACUUUUGUAAGUGUGGUAAAAUCUCAAGAUUGUUGAUAUGCAAUUUUUUUUAAUAUUUAUUUGGGAUAUUAUUGGAAAUUGUAAUGUGUGAAAUUGUUUGAUUGGAUUAUUGGGGAAUGUUGAGAUUGUUGAAUUAUUGAGGAACAUUGGAAUUGUGGCAUUCAUUGCAUCAUGGUUAUGUGAAAAAAAUAAAUAAAUAAAUAAAAUCAUGAAGAUUGUGAAAAGUGUAUGAAAUGGAAAAAAAAAUGAAAUAGAGAUGGGAAGUGGAAGCCCGUGUGAGGCGAAUUAAGAAGGGAGAGAGAUCCCUAGGGUGAAAGACCCAAAAGUUUACCCCGGGAAGACUCCGAAUGGGGAGUGUAUUUGGGUGCGGACGCGUAUCCUUCAGUGAAAGCCCGAGAACAAUAGUGCAUUGUAUGACUGUGUGUCACACGUUCAUGUGCAUUCAUGUAAUUGUUGAAUAUUGUGAAAUUGGGUAUAAAAUUAUAUAUAUUAAACUAUGUGGUUUGAUUGACACUGUUGAAUUGUUCCUUUGGUGUUGAAGUGUUCUUUUCGUAUUCUUUGAACUUAGUAAUCCCUUUAACCCCUUUGGUGUUAGGCACCCUACUGAGCAAUGUGGAAAUGCUCACCCCUUCCUUGUUACACCUUUUUAGAUGCAGAUAUCUCUCCUGAGGAUCCACAGGUGGGACAGGGAGGACUUCAGGAUGCUCCUGGAGCGGCCUAGUGGAGCGUGGCAUUUAUUUGUUAUUGUGUUCCUUUUUGGAUUUUGGGGAUUUGUUUUAGCAAUUAUGACUCAUGGAUUUGCUAUGAAGCUUUAUUUGAUUAAGUUGUUAAUUGUGAACCUUUAUUUUGGACUAUAAUGAAUAUUUAUUUAAUCUUGUUGUUUUGAGUAGUUUUGGGAUAUUGUAAUUUAUGAGAAUUCUAGUGAGAUGUAUAAAAAAAAAAAAAUCCAGAGUGUUUUGGUUGACUGCCAACAUGGAAUAGGAGGAACCCUUAGGGUCAAACCUUUGACCUGGGGUCACGGGUCAAAUUUUGGGUCGCCCGGAAUUUGGGUCGUGACAGCGUGGUAUCAGAGCCAAGGUUGCGAUAAUACCUUGGGGUCAAUGUUUGUGGGUGUUUAUGUGUGUUGUGAUGUUAUAACUUUUGUAUGUGUUAAUUAUCAAGUUGAUGAUUAAUUUAAUUAUGUAUUGAGAGCGUAUGAAAGUGAAAGUUUUGAUAAUUGUUGAAGUUGCUAAGUGUGUAUAUGUGAAAUUUAUUUUUGCUCACCUUAGUAAUGUGAUUGAAUUAGGGUUUGUUAAACUUGAAAUGGCGGGAAGGACCAGAGGAGGAAGAUCAGAGAGGAAUGAGGAGUUGGAGACAGUUAGAGAAGAACUCCGAGAAGUAAGAAGAGAGUUGAGAGAAACUGUUGAAUUGAUGAGAGGCCAAGGUUCCAGGAGAGCAGGAGGUACCCAGGGCCAUGAGGAUUCAGGCCACUCACAUAGGAGGAGCCGCACUGAGAGGCCAGUAAUGAGCCAAAUGGAAGCAAUGAAGAGGUUCAUGGUGAUGCAGCCUCCAUCUUUUAAUGGAGAGCCCAGUGCUGAAGCAGUUGAGCAUUGGUUGAGGAGGAUGAGAAGAAUUUUGGUGGGACUGGACAUACCUGAGGAAAAAAGGGUAGGUCUGGCAACAUAUAUGCUUGUGGACAAAGCUGAUUUCUGGUGGGAAUCAAUGAAAAGGGUGUAUGACACUGAGGUUAUGACCUGGGAGGAAUUUGAGAGAAUCUUCCUAGGCAAGUAUUUUGGGGAAGUGGCUAAGCAUGCCAAGAGGAUGGAGUUUGAGCACCUCAUCCAAGGAACCAUGUCAGUGCUGGAGUAUGAGUCACGUUUCUCAGAGUUGUCUCGUUUUGCUUUGGGGAUGAUCAGUGAGGAAGGAGAAAAGGCUAGGAGGUUCCAACAGGGGUUGAGGCCUGCUAUUAGGAACAGAUUAGUCCCACUGGCAAUAAGGGAUUAUUCUGAGUUGGUUAAGAGGGCUUUGUUGGUGGAACAGGACAUUGACAAAACCAACCAAAUUCGAGAGUAAAAGGGGGACAGAAAAGGGAAACAAAGAAUGGGGGAAAGUUCCCAGGGGCCACAGCAGAGGCAGAGGACUCAGCAGUUUGAGAGGCGUCCCUCGUUCUAUGCAGGAGAGGGGCAGAUUGCUCAGAGGGCGGCUGCUAAUAGAGUAUGUUAUGGUUGUGGAGCAGAAGACCAUUUAUGGAGGGCUUGCCCAUUGCGAGGCGCACAGCAGACUCGACCUCAGUCUCAGGGAAGUUCUCAGCAACAGUCAGUAGUGUCUUUCCAGCCCCCUCAGCUUCAGUUGCCUUACUAUCAGAUGCCACAAUUACCCCCAGCAGCGCAGGGAACCAGGACAACUACCACGAGUCAGACCCGCUCUUCUCAGGGGUCGAAUGCUAGAGGUAGGGGAAGGCAGGCAGCAGGAAGAGUUUUUGCCUUGACCCCAACAGAGCCAGAGGAGGAUGCCCUUUUGGUGGAAGGUAUGAUUUUGGUAUAUAGUACUUGGGUGCGUGUUUUGUUUGAUACUGGUGCAACUCAUUCUUUCAUUUCUGCAUCUUGUGCUAAUGCAUUGGGGUUGAAAUCGGAAAGGGUAGAGAAUUUGUUACUUAUUGAGUCUCCUAUGGGUACGAACUCUAGAGUUGAUAGAAUAUGCAAGGGGUGUGUUAUUACCUUGGCAGAUAGAGCACUAAAUGUGGAUUUGAGGAUUUUGGAUAUGACUGGGUAUGAUGUUAUUUUGGGAAUGGAUUGGUUGGCAGUGUAUAGAGCGGUUAUUGAUUGUCAUCGCCGCAGGAUAAUAUUUUGUUUGCCAGAGGGAUUUGAGGUUUGUUUUGUUGGAGGGAAGUGUGUUAGUUUGCCUUUUUCGCAGUCCGAUCCGUGCUAUCAGUAUGUGUUGAGGAAAGGAUCAAUAAAUUUCCUAGCUUGCCUUCGUGGUAAGGAGAAAGCCCAGAAGGACAUUACAGAAAUUCCAAUGGUGAGGAAGUUUCAGGAUGUAUUCCCAGAUGAGUUACCAGGUUUACCACCGCAUAGAGAGUUUGAUUUCUCUAUUGAAGUAUACCCAGGAACUGAUCCUAUUUCAGUAUCCCCUUAUAGGAUGGCCCCUCUUGAGUUGAAAGAAUUGAAAACUCAGUUAGAUGAAUUGUUGGGUAGGGGUUUUAUUCGUCCAAGUACAUCGCCAUGGGGAGCNNNNNNNNNNNNNNNNNNNNNNNNNNNNNNNNNNNNNNNNNNNNNNNNNNNNNNNNNNNNNNNNNNNNNNNNNNNNNNNNNNNNNNNNNNNNNNNNNNNNNNNNNNNNNNNNNNNNNNNNNNNNNNNNNNNNNNNNNNNNNNNNNNNNNNNNNNNNNNNNNNNNNNNNNNNNNNNNNNNNNNNNNNNNNNNNNNNNNNNNNNNNNNNNNNNNNNNNNNNNNNNNNNNNNNNNNNNNNNNNNNNNNNNNNNNNNNNNNNNNNNNNNNNNNNNNNNNNNNNNNNNNNNNNNNNNNNNNNNNNNNNNNNNNNNNNNNNNNNNNNNNNNNNNNNNNNNNNNNNNNNNNNNNNNNNNNNNNNNNNNNNNNNNNNNNNNNNNNNNNNNNNNNNNNNNNNNNNNNNNNNNNNNNNNNNNNNNNNNNNNNNNNNNNNNNNNNNNNNNNNNNNNNNNNNNNNNNNNNNNNNNNNNNNNNNNNNNNNNNNNNNNNNNNNNNNNNNNNNNNNNNNNNNNNNNNNNNNNNNNNNNNNNNNNNNNNNNNNNNNNNNNNNNNNNNNNNNNNNNNNNNNNNNNNNNNNNNNNNNNNNNNNNNNNNNNNNNNNNNNNNNNNNNNNNNNNNNNNNNNNNNNNNNNNNNNNNNNNNNNNNNNNNNNNNNNNNNNNNNNNNNNNNNNNNNNNNNNNNNNNNNNNNNNNNNNNNNNNNNNNNNNNNNNNNNNNNNNNNNNNNNNNNNNNNNNNNNNNNNNNNNNNNNNNNNNNNNNNNNNNNNNNNNNNNNNNNNNNNNNNNNNNNNNNNNNNNNNNNNNNNNNNNNNNNNNNNNNNNNNNNNNNNNNNNNNNNNNNNNNNNNNNNNNNNNNNNNNNNNNNNNNNNNNNNNNNNNNNNNNNNNNNNNNNNNNNNNNNNNNNNNNNNNNNNNNNNNNNNNNNNNNNNNNNNNNNNNNNNNNNNNNNNNNNNNUAAUGUCCCUGCUGCUUUCAUGGAUUUAAUGAACAGGGUAUUUCGUGCUUACUUGGAUCAGUUUGUGAUUGUCUUUGUGGAUGACAUCUUGAUCUACUCCAGGAGUUUGGAGGAGCAUAAGCAGCAUUUAGUGACCACCCUUGGAACUUUGAGAAGGCAUCAGUUGUAUGGGAAGUUGGACAAAAGUGAGUUUUGGCUUACUGAAGUGAACUUCUUAGGCCAUGUGGUUUCUGAGGCAGGAAUAGCAGUAGACCAUUCAAAGGUGGAAGCUGUACAGGAGUGGCAAAGGCCUACCAAUGUAUUUGAGGUUAGAAGUUUCUUGGGGUUGGCUGGAUAUUAUAGGAGGUUUGUGGAAGACUUCUCUAGAAUUGCAGCACCAAUGACUCGGUUGACUAGAAAAGGGGUGAAGUUUGAUUGGAAUGAGGAGUGUGAGAAUGCUUUCCAGGAAUUGAAGCGGAAAUUGACCACUGCUCCAGUGUUAACUGCUCCUAUUAGUGGAGAGUUGUUUACCAUUUAUUGUGAUGCUUCCACAGUGGGGUUAGGGUGUGUGCUAAUGCAGCAAGGCAAGGUGGUAGCUUAUGCCUCAAGACAAUUAAAGCAGCAUGAGCGGAAUUAUCCAGCACAUGAUUUGGAGCUUGCAGCAGUGGUGUUUGCCCUAAAGACUUGGAGACACUAUUUGUAUGGAGAGAAGUUUGAGGUGUACUCUGAUCACAAGAGUUUGAAAUACAUUUUCACUCAAAAGGAUUUGAACUCUAGGCAGAGGAGAUGGAUGGAGACAUUGGAAGAUUAUGAUUUUGCCCUUCAUUACCAACCUGGGAAGGCGAAUGUUGUAGCAGAUGCCUUGAGUAGAAAGAGCUAUGGCCAGUUGUCUAGCUUGGGGUUGAGAGAGUUUGAGAUGCAUGCAGUUAUUGAGGACUUUGAGCUAUGUCUUAGUCAGGAAGGACGUGGUCCAUGCUUAUACAGCAUAUCAGCUAGACCAAUGAUUAUCCAAAGAAUAGUGGAGGCCCAAGUUCAUGAUGAGUUUUUAGAAAAGGUUAAAGCCCAGUUGGUAGCAGGUGAAAUAGAUGAAAAUUGGUCUAUGUAUGAAGAUGGGAGUGUGAGGUUCAAAGGGAAAUUGUGUGUGCCAAAAGAUGUGGAGUUGAGAAAUGAACUUCUAGCAGAUGCUCAUAGGGCGAAGUAUACCAUCCACCCUGGGAAUACCAAGAUGUAUCAAGACUUAAAGAGGCAGUUUUGGUGGAGUGGGAUGAAGAGAGAUAUUGCUCAGUUUGUAGCUAAUUGUCAGAUUUGUCAGCAAGUGAAGGCUGAACACCAGAGGCCUGCAGGGUUGUUGCAACCUUUACCUAUACCUGAGUGGAAGUGGGAUAAUAUCACUAUGGACUUUGUGAUAGGGUUGCCAAGAACUAGAAGCAAGAAAAAUGGAGUUUGAGUGAUUGUGGACCGUCUUACUAAGUCAGCUCAUUUUCUAGCCAUGAAAACUACUGAUUCCAUGAACUCUUUGGCUAAGUUGUAUAUACAGGAGAUUGUGAGAUUGCAUGGGAUACCUGUAUCUAUAGUGUCUGACAGGGAUCCUAAGUUUACUUCUCAGUUUUGGCAGAGUUUACAAAGGGCUUUGGGCACCCAACUGAAUUUUAGCACCGCUUUUCAUCCUCAGACAGAUGGUCAAUCAUAGAGAGUGAUCCAUAUCUUAAAAGACAUGUUAAGGGCUUGUGUUUUGGAUUUUGGAGGAAAUUGGGCAGAUUACUUACCUUUAGCAGAGUUUGCUUAUAACAACAGUUACCAAUCUAGUAUUGGCAUGGCACCUUAUGAAGCACUCUAUGGGAGACCUUGUAGAUCGCCCUUGUGUUGGAUAGAGAUGGGUGAGAGUCGUUUAUUGGGACCUGAGAUUGUCCAAGAGACUACAGAGAAGAUACAACUCAUCAAGGAAAAACUUAAGACUGCCCAAGAUAGACAGAAAAGUUAUGCAGACAAAAGGAGAAGGCCCUUGGAGUUUGAGGAAGGGGAUUGGGUGUUUGUAAAAGUGUCCCCUCGAAGAGGCAUAUUUCGAUUUGGGAAUAAGGGGAAGUUAGCCCCUAGGUUUGUGGGACCAUUUCAGAUUGAUAAGAGAGUUGGCCCAGUGGCAUACAAGUUAAUUUUGCCUCAACAGUUGUCCCUUGUGCAUGAUGUUUUCCAUGUGUCGAUGCUAAGGAAGUGUACUCCAGAUCCAACUUGGGUAGUGGACAUGCAAGAUGUUCAGAUUAGUGAAGAUACAUCUUAUGUGGAGGAACCUUUACGAAUUCUGGAAGUUGGAGAGCAUAGGUUCAGGAACAAGGUGAUUCCUGCAGUCAAAGUGUGGUGGCAACACCAUGGGAUAGAAGAAGCCACUUGGGAACCUGAAGAAGAAAUGAGACGACACUAUCCGCAACUCUUCUACGAAUUUUAAGGUAAGCUAGUUUAAAUUUCGGGACGAAAUUUCUUUUAGGAGGGUAGGAUGUAAUGACCGGGCAUUUUAUGCCACGUUAGCAAUUUUAGUUUGAAAAGUCUUAAUUUAUGUGAUGGUUGAAAAGUCAAAAAGAAAAGCGUUUGGAGAACACGUGUCAAUUUCGGAUUGGUGAAUUUCGUUUUAUUGCGUCGGUCAAUUAAACGAGUUGAAAUUUUAUGCCAUGUCAGCCUUAGGAUAGAAAAUUCUUAGGAUUUUAGAAAUUGGAAAUUUACGGGAACGAAAAACGAAAACGAAAAAUGAAAAAUAAAUAAAUUAAGAUUAAUUAGAAUUAAUUAAGAAAAAUUAAUUAAUUAAUUAAAUUAAAUUGAUGAAUAAUAAUAUUGAGAAAAUUAGUUUUUAUUUGGUGUUAAUAAAUAAAAUUGUGUGUUAAAAUGAAAAAAAAAUGAAUGAAAAAUGAAUUGGAAAUUAAAUAAAACAAUUAGAAUAAAGAAAAGAAAUAAUAACAAUAAUAAUGGAUUGGGCUUAGUUUUUGAGUUGGGCUUGGAGCAAGUGGGCUGGUGGUUUUUUUUUUUAAAAAAGCCAUGUGAAGUGGGCUGGGCUGUUAGUAAAAGAAAAAAAAAAAAAAUGAAAAGGGAGAGAACUGGCAGUAGCACGCACGCGGGGAGAGAGAAANNNNNNNNNNNNNNNNNNNNNNNNNNNNNNNNNNNNNNNNNNNNNNNNNNNNNNNNNNNNNNNNNNNNNNNNNNNNNNNNNNNNNNNNNNNNNNNNNNNNNNNNNNNNNNNNNNNNNNNNNNNNNNNNNNNNNNNNNNNNNNNNNNNNNNNNNNNNNNNNNNNNNNNNNNNNNNNNNNNNNNNNNNNNNNNNNNNNNNNNNNNNNNNNNNNNNNNNNNNNNNNNNNNNNNNNNNNNNNNNNNNNNNNNNNNNNNNNNNNNNNNNNNNNNNNNNNNNNNNNNNNNNNNNNNNNNNNNNNNNNNNNNNNNNNNNNNNNNNNNNNNNNNNNNNNNNNNNNNNNNNNNNNNNNNNNNNNNNNNNNNNNNNNNNNNNNNNNNNNNNNNNNNNNNNNNNNNNNNNNNNNNNNNNNNNNNNNNNNNNNNNNNNNNNNNNNNNNNNNNNNNNNNNNNNNNNNNNUUGGGUGUUAGGCACCCUACUGAGCAAUGUGGAAAUGCUCACCCCUUCCUUGUUACACCUUUUUAGAUGCAGAUAUCUCUCCUGAGGAUCCACAGGUGGGACAGGGAGGACUUCAGGAUGCUCCUGGAGCGGCCUAGUGGAGCGUGGCAUUUAUUUGUUAUUGUGUUCCUUUUUGGAUUUUGGGGAUUUGUUUUAGCAAUUAUGACUCAUGGAUUUGCUAUGAAGCUUUAUUUGAUUAAGUUGUUAAUUGUGAACCUUUAUUUUGGACUAUAAUGAAUAUUUAUUUAAUCUUGUUGUUUUGAGUAGUUUUGGGAUAUUGUAAUUUAUGAGAAUUCUAGUGAGAUGUAUAAAAAAAAAAAAAUCCAGAGUGUUUUGGUUGACUGCCAACAUGGAAUAGGAGGAAUCCUUAGGGUCAAACCUUUGACCUGGGGUCACGGGUCAAAUUUUGGGUCGCCCGGAAUUUGGGUCGUGACAGUGUUGGUCAAUUUCUACCCCAAAUGUCCACAACCGGACCUCACUCUCGGACUCAAGCGCCAUACGGAUCCCGGUACCAUCACGCUGCUGCUUCAGGAUCAGGUGGGUGGGCUUCAGGCUACAAGGGAUGGUGGAAAGACUUGGAUCACCGUUCAGCCUGUUGAAGGAGCUUUUGUUGCCAACCUUGGAGAUCAUGGCCAUGUGAGUACAAUUAAUUAAGCUCUUAAAGUUCUCUGUUUCUAUAUACAAUAUUGGUCUACCAAUCCUUAUUAAAAGUAAUAUAUAUCCUCUAAAACAAUAGAGCUAUUAAACAAAUAUUUUGUUACAAAUUAAAGUCAUUUUUUGUCUUCAUCUAUAAUUUUCCUUUUUUUUUUUAUAUAUAUAUAUUUAUGUUUCCCCCCUGUUAUUAUAAUUUCCAUUCAUUCACGAGAAAUGGCUUUGAAAUAAUGAAACUGGAGAUUCAUCAGGGGAUGCUCGUAAUACAAAUUGAUUUAUGAGUAAACGUUGAACUGAUUGACUGAGCGUACGCAUGCAUGCAGUUCAUGAGCAAUGGAAGAUUCAAGCGCGCGGAACACCAAGUGGUGGUCAACUCCAACUGUGAUCGAUUUUCGAUAGCAACAUUCCAAAAUCCGGCACCAGAAGCAAUAGUUUAUCCUCUGAAGAUAGAAGAAGGAGAGAAGGCAGUGUUGGAGGAGGCCAUAACCUUCCAAGAGAUGUACGUGAGGAAGAUGAACCGGGACGUCAACCGUCCCUGGCUAAAGAAGCCUGUCAAGGAUCACCAGUCUUAUGAUUUUGAUCAUCAAUCCAAACUGGCCCCCAAGCUUGCUGAGAAUAUUUUCGUUUAAACUCAACUGCGUUCUUCAUGUCCCGCUUGCGUUUGCGUGUGUGUUUUUUGGCCUUUCCUUUUUUGUUGUUCUCCUGCCAAAGUUCUAUGUGUAGUGUGUACUCAGGGGACCUGCGGAGUAGUCUCUUUUUCGUGUGAGGAUCAGCUACGAAAAACGUACCGUUCAAUCUUCAUGAUAGGAGGCCUCUGGAUGCCCUUCUUAUUUGAUUUAUUUUUAUUUAAUGCAUGGGGAAAUGUGUCCUAAAUAAUAACACAAAUUUGAAAAUUCAAAUACAUUUAUCCAAAAAUAAUUAAAAUUUUAUUCAAUUUUUUUUGGCAUCAAAAUUACUAAUUUUGAUCACAUAGGAAUAAGUUUGGAAAAUAAUAUUUUAAUACAUUUAUGCACUUUUUUCCUAUUAAAAAUAUUAUUAUAUUGAGAAGAAAUUCCACUUGUAAGGGUCCAUUUAGAUUCAACUCUAUUGUGACCAAGACGAAAACAUCUGUAAUUAUAAAUAUAUUGAUACUUUGAUUUUAUAGAUAUAUCGAAAAUAUAUCGACAGAUAUUUUGAUACAAAAUAUCGAUGAGUCUAAAAUUAAUUAAAAUUCAUGAAAAUAUUAAGAAAAAAAUCUAAAAAUGAUAUAAUAAAUAAUAAUAAACAUUUUAAAGUUUUUUUUAUAAAAAAAAUGAUAUAUGCAUAUGAUAUAAUUAAUUAUAUUUGAUAAUAAUAUAGUAUGCAUUGAUAAAAAAUUAUGAAUUUUAUAAGUUGAUAUUUAUUAUUAAAUUCCAUCAAAUAUUAUUUGAUAAUAAUAUUGUGAUAUUUGAUUAUGAUAUAUUUAAUUUUGAAAUAUAUUUAAUAUUAAAAUUAUGAUUCAUUUUAAUUUAAUUGUAUUAAAUAAUAUAAAAUAAAUAAUGAUAUAUAAAUAAAAAAUUUAAUAUUCAUAUUUUUUAUAUUUAAUUAAUAUAUAAAUUAUAUAAAAAAUUUGUUAAGAAAAUUAUCACAAUAAUUUUGUCUAUUUUUAGUGAUCAAUUAAAUGAAAUUUAAAGAUAAAAGAAUUAGAAUUAAUUUGUUUAUUAAUUUUUUUUUUAAUAUUUUGUUUUAUGAAGGUUUUAGUAUAUGGUUAUUUUGGUGCAUGCAAUAUAUUGAGGAAGUAAUGUAGCCCAAUAGUGAGCCCAAGUUGAGUUUGCUGUUUUGGCCUGGGUUUGAGGCCCAACGCCUGCAACAAGCCAAAAUUGUUGAAUUUUUUAGGGUUGGAAAUAUUGUCCACACGGAUAUAUCUUCCCAAUAUUUCUAUCGGUGGCUACCAAUAUUUCAGGGAUAUAUCGGCGAUAUAUCCCGAAAUUUUCAACCAUGAUUGUGACUAUUGAAUUGAUCUAUUCCUAACUUAGAGUUCAUUCUCAAUUGAAAUUUUCACUAAUCAAAACUUUUAUUAUUAUCAUUAUUGUUAUUGUUGUGGUGGUUGUUUUUCUUAUUAUUAUCAUUAUUGUUGUUGAUGUCUAUUGUAAAUGAGUAAACUUGAUAUUCAUGUAACCUUCAUCAUUAUCAUGAAAUAUUUAUUAUAGGCAAAAACUUUAUGGAGCACAUUUCAUGUCCCAAAGCUAUGAAAAAAAUUAUUUUAUGAUCUCUUAUGAGAAUAAGUUAUGUAAAAAAAAGUUAAUGAAAUUAUUUUAUUAACUUCUUUUAUCGAAGAAACUGCUAAAGUUUCUUAUUACUGUACUCUCCAAAUUUAGGGUGUAAACGAACACCAAGAAGAAUUUGAGCGGGAGAAAAUAGAAGAGAGAUAGAAAAACUCAAACCUUAUGGAGAAAAUAUUAUCGACUCACCAAUGAGCUUACUAUUUAUAAACAAUAUUAUUGAUGAAAGAUAAGAUUGCAAAGUAAAUAGAUAAUUUUCUCCAUUCCUUUUUAUUUAAACUCACAUAUGGACGGUGAAAAUAUUUAAAUUCUAAUAUCUCCCACUUGUCCACAUUGGAUGAAAUCUCUUCUUUUUUUUCUCUUUUAAUCUUGCAAUUCUAAAAAAAAAUAUUAAAAUUUUUAGAAGUGAAAAGGUUACCUUGGCCAUGCCUAGAAUUGUAUAUCGUUUAAUAUCACUUGCAAUAUUAGAAAUAUGAAUAUCCCCUUCUUGAAACAAAUAGAUGAAAGGUAAUUUUUAUACUAUAUCCAAGUUGUCUCACAAGUAAUAUUGAUGGGAAAAAUAGGCUAAAAUUUUGCUAAGGAAAAGUGACUUUAAGAUGGGUUGAAUGGAAUCAAAUCGACUAUUCUCACACUUUGUGAACCUAGAUUAAUUUAUUGAUGUUAGAAAAAUGAGGCUAAUCCAAUCUAAUAGGGUGAUAGUCUUUUUUUGCAAAUUUAAAUUGUAUGAAUGCAAGAGACAAUUAUAUGCAAAUAUAUAAUAAAACAAUAAAAAAAAUAAUUGCAUAUAAAGUAAAAGAAUAAGAAAAAGAGAAUGCAAACACAAUAUUUUUAUAGUAGUUCGGCACAACUCGACCUACAUCCACUCUCCUCUAACUUCUAUCCCAAGCUUGAGAUUCCACUAAUUUAAGACUUCCAAACCAAGACUUUAAACAAUACAAUUAAAUUAUAAUUUCAAUCUACCCUCUUGGAUUUUUUACUCCAAGCACUCUUUACAAACCUCAAGAGAUACCUCACUCUUAAAUAACCCCUCUAGUGAUACCCCACACUUGAGAAUCCCUAAGAUCUCACACUUAGAUUCUUCAUCUCAAAGAUUUACAAAUUAAGAUAAUAAAUGAUCUUACAAAAUCCUAGUACAAAACUUUAAAGUUUAAAUAAUACAAGAAAACUAGGAUUGAAUGGUGUACUAAUGAUAUACAAGUUUUAGAACAAUGGUGCACUAAAAAAUACUCUUUCAAGGCUCAAAUAUAUUCAAAAAAUGUUUAGGAAGGUUAAACUCUUGAAACAAUGAAGAUUAGAGCUUUUUUAUAAAGGAAAAAUGUCAAACUAGUCGUUGGGGGUUCGACAGGUUGAGUUGGGGUUCGACAGGUUGAGCUAGGAGUCAACCGAUUGACUAGCCGUUAGCAUUUAAUAUUUGGCAGGUGACCGUUGGACCUCGACCACCCCUUAACCGAAGCUCGACCAGUUGAGGUUCAACAUUGACCAAUUAAACAACCAUUCUGGAAGAGAGAGAAUGUUUUUUACAAUCCUCGACUGAUUGAGAUGAGGUCGACCAAUUCCUUAUCUAGUUCAACCGGUUGAGCUGUUUUUGGCUUAAUAACCAACUUUUUCAACUUAAAAUUUUUUAAACAAGUUUAGAAAACAUUUAACACAAGAUUUUAAUUGAAAACAUGAAAUCAUCCAAUUUUAAAAAAUGAAAAACUCUUAGAUGAUUUUGAUGCAUAAGUAAAUAAUGUAAUGUAUAAAAUCCUAAUGCAUCAACAAUCUUAUAAAGAGAUCUUAUGAAGCUUGGGUCUUGAAAAACACUUCUCUUUGAGAUCUUUUUCUUCUUAAUGAUUUUUCUUUGACUUGAUUUGUCUUUAUGAUUGUCACUUUGGAAAUUAUCUUGUCUAAUCACACUUGAAAUAUAAUCAUUAAUUCUAAACCUUAUUUUGUUAUCAUCAAAAUUAAGAUUGAUCAAACCUUGGUUUCACAAUUGAAAUAAUAAAAUUAGAUAAGUUAAGGAAUUUAAGAAGUGAAUGAUGUCUUUAAUUUUGCUACCGAUAAAAAUGACUUAUUUGUUAUAGUUUUGAAAGUCUUUUGAUUUCUAGAAAUUAAAUUAUCUUGUUUUUUUUUAAUAAACUUGUGAACGGUUUUUCAUGUCCAAAUAAUUCAAAUUAUUCAAGAUUGCUAGUUAAACUUUUGAAAAUCAUAGUCCUUGGAGGGUUUUCUAUAUCUAAAAUACUUUAGGAUUAAGAAUAAAUUAAUAUCAUGGGAUCUUGAUUUGAACUUUUUUUUUUUUUUUUUGAAUGAUACAAGGUUGCUUGAACACCCAUUUAGACCUUUCAAAUGGACAUGGACGUUGGAAUGAUUUUCUUUUGAUUUGCAUGCCACCAUUUUAAAAAGCUUCAAAUUAACACUCAUCUUUUUUCCCAUACUUCCUACUUCAUACGUCCAUCCAAUAUAGAGUCCAAGAUAUUUCUAACUGAUUACUUGCUCUUGCUCGAGUUGAUCCAUGUUUUCUCUAUUUCUUUCAUUUUUCUAGUCCUUAUCUUUUCUAUUUCUUUUUUUCUUUUUUCUUUUUUCUUUUUUUUCUUCCAUGGCUCAUGGUAUGGGUAGUACCCGAAGGACUCAUGCCUUAUCUUUUUCAAUUUCUCAUGCACAUACUCUUGUACAUCUUAGAUAUGCCACGGAUGACCUUCCAAUAGUAUUUUUGUUCUACUGAGCAUAGAGUCUUUUUAUAAGAGAUUUUUUUAUCGAAAUUUCCCAUGCAUUGUCUAUGUGAGGCGAUAAGAGCCUCUAACUUGUGUUUGAGGGGUUGUGUAACACUCAAAUGUUCUAUGCAAACAUUUUUUAUUAUAUAUCUAACGUUAGUUUUAGGUGAUGUUUGCAAAAUAUUUUGGUUUUUUUAUUCAGUUAAAAAUAAUUUGUUGAUAUCAACUAACAUAACUAAAAUGAAUUUGUUAUUAAUAUGUUUAGUUUAGUUAUGUUAAUUGAUAUAACAUGUUACUUUUAACUGAAUAAAAAAAAUUAAAUAUUUUAGUUUUUUCUAUUCUAUAAAAAAAAACGAACAUCAUCUUAAUGUUUUCAUUCAUGGUUUAGCUUUUUGUAGACCCCCUUUUAGGUCAUUCCUACCUUGCAGCUCAAUUUUACCAUGUGGAAGAGCCUUGGUCAGCCACGUGUCAACACCUGAGAAGCCAUGAGAGAAUCAUAAUAGUGGUUUGGGAAGCCAAUCAAAAGGGGACACGUUGCAUGGGAAUCUGGAAGCCGUUAAUGGAGGAGCGUCUCUGGCAGCUGGGGAGGAGGUGCUUUUCAGAGUCCGUUAGAGAUAUUUUGAGGGGUUUUAGGCUGCGGCUUGCAGGGUGAGAGGGGGAGGAGAGUUUGAGAGAGAGCAAAUCAGAGGUUUUGAACUUUCUUGGGCUGCAAGUUUGAGAAGGGAGGCCGUUAGAGAUAUUUUUUUCGGAGAGAGAUUAUUGGAGAAGCAAGCUGAGAGAACCAGAGUGCUGCCUGGAGAUAUUAGAGGAGAGAGAGAGAACAGGGAGGUUUGGGGUUGGAGCAGAGAGGCUAGUAGCUUGAGAGGAGGGAGGAUUGCUUGAGGAACCUAUUGAGGAGAAUUAUGAGCUGAAUAUCGACACGAGGCGGAGCAGUGAGUUACAGCCGAAAGCACCCAGCUGAGGAAGAGAUUUUCAGGUUUGGGGUUUCUUUUUGUCUUCAAGUACAUUUUUAUUCUUCAUAUAUCAUGCUCUGCAACUUUCACUGUGUUUUGUUGGGUUGUUUUAGCUUGAUGAUUUUCUUUGGUUUAAUAUUUGAAAGCUUGUUAUAUUUCAUGUUUCAUUCCCGCAAAUACUUUUAGUUCGACUCACCUAUUAUUGUAUCCAUGGAUAAAUGAUGAAAUGGAUUCAAUAUGAUGUUAAAGAGCUACUCUCCGGUUACUCUGUUUUUCCCCUGAACAUAUAUCAAAAAGGUCGUGAGGUUAGGAGUGACUGGGACUAAGCUGCAUGUGGCGAUCUACAGUGAGAUGACCAAAGCUGGAUUCACUUGAAAUAUCAAGGUCCAUGAAAGAAUUUCAUGAAGGAUGAAAUCCGUGAAGGGAUUGUCAAAGCCACUGGGUUUUGUUAAAAUUUAUUUGGCAUUUAGGUUGACUGUGAGGGUUGAAUGCCAUUUGAUAUCGAAAAUCUGAGUUUCCGAGACCAAGAGGAGUCAUGAUUGAAAUAUCCGAUGUGUGUGCGGUGCCUCAAAUUGCUGGGAGUAUUCUUUAGUGGAACUGUUAUGUAUCAUUGGGCAACUAUGCAACCAAACCUCUCUUACAGAGAUCCAGGCAUCAAUUAUAGUUCCCAUCCUACCCAUUGUUUGAUACCCACGAGACCUUUCAUACCCAUUUCUAUUACCACCACUCUCUCUCUACACCACCAUGCACCCAUCUCAUCUCUCCCUUUCGCUCAUCAUACCCACACUUCCAUACUAACCCUCAUCUUCAUGCCCCAUGCAUGCACCCAUCAAACCCAUUCCACAUUACCACCUUUUCUCUCUCUUCAAACUCUUUCAUACCCAUUUCACCACUCCUUAUUCAUCAUCCAUCAUCCAGCCCUGUUCAUCUAUCCCAACCUCUCUGCUCGUCAUGCACCUCAAAGACUAGUCCAACAAGUCUCAGUCUGCCGUCAUUAAUCUUCGCGUCUUCAGCGAUAGCAUCAAGGUUCUGUCGGAGAUGAAGUAAAACGUGAAGAUUGCAAAUGGGUUUCAGAGCAAAACUUCACUCAUGAACUGAUCUAUGGGACGAACACAGCAGCUUUGAGCACAGCUCCGCUCAACAAUGGGUUGAGUUGUGGCUCUUGCUAUGAGGUUAAGUGCGUGAAUGACAGAAAACGGUGCCUGCUUGGCUCCAUUGUGAUCACAGCCACCAGUUUACGCCCACCAGACAAUGUCCUUCCACUUUCAACAGUCUGAUCCAAUGGCCACUGUUGGCGGCGCCGGAAGCCUAUCUCUGUUUGGUGUUUAGGCGAAUCCGAUCUUCUUCUUCCUCGUCCUGUGGUAGUGGUCAGGGAUAAUCUUGGAAGCCAUUUUUCCAGCUGCUACUCGUGAAUAUGCACCAUCGGCGGAGCACGGGCAGCCACUACAUUGCCUCGUCCAUCUCAUGCUUUAACUAUGGGAUUACCUUGUGUCUACAAACUUGGGGAUUAUGAUGCAGUUUUGAGAUGCUUGAAAAACUCCAAGGGCAUUGAAUUUGAAGGGAUAUCUUGAGGAACUUUCAAUGUUGUUGAGAUACUUUCACGUUCCUUUGAAUUAGAGCAGUGGAUGCCAUGCAUGCCGAGACAUUUUUCUGAUGACGAGUUUGGCGAGGUGGAUAUUGAUGGUUCAUUGGCUGCUAGUCAUUCCUCAGUGGCUAAAGAUGUUGUCAUGGUUAAGAAAGGAUGCUGAAAGUAGGGAGAUCAAAGGGAAAGGGGCGUUAUAGAAAAUUACUGUCGUGCUAUGAACCCAUGCAAUCACGUGGAUUUGGUGUGUUGCCGGUUCGCGCCCAUCUCGGUGCAUUUGAUCUGGAGAAGUGAAUCAAUUGACUUGUCAGUCAGAGAAGGAGCCAGUCAAUAAAGGGAAGAGGAAGCUGCCCAGUAUAUUCAGAGGUCAUGGCAUGCACUAUGGAAAUCAAAACGGUUGAUGAAUAUUGUUACAGAGAUCAGUGGGCGGAUGGACUAAGAUUUUGAUGCAGUCCAUGUGGUUCGAGGUGAGAAAGCACGGAAUAAAGAGCCAUGACCCCAUUUAGAUUCUGAUACUUCACCUGAUGCCCUCUGUCCCAAGCUGAAGGAGAUGGUUCAUCCAUGGAGGAAUCUGUGUAUCACACCCAAUGAGCCAUUUUAUAAUUAUUUUGAUAAACUGAGAAAACUGAAGCAGCAAAGCAUGGUCACCUUUAGGGUUGUUUAUUAUUUUAUUUCAUCUUUCACCAUUUUUAAUUUCAAAGCAAUCCCAUAAAUUCCGGUUUUCAAAUAUUUUUCAAAUGACUUCAAUUCUUUUCUUGAAAUUUCAUCCUUAGGGCUUUAGGUCUCAAAAAUUCACUUUUCAAAUAAAAUUCACUGCCAUUCUUUCUUUUGGCCAGUGACUUUCACAAUUCCUCUGAUUUUCAAAAUGUUUUAAAUAAGCAAGGAUUAAAUUCUGUAAUUCCAAAUAAUGGAAUUUCAUGGGAUUAAUUCAUGCAAAAUAAAACGGGCUUUGGUGGGGGCCCCACAUAGGUGAUUUUAUAAUUAAUUGAUUGAUUGAUUGAUUUAAUUGCUUCAAUUGUCAUGCAUGAUUGAUUUUAUUCUGUUUCUUGACAUGCGUAUAAGUAUAUGUACAUAUUUAUGGUUCACUGAUCCUGCUUCAUGAUAGCGCAUUUGUCGCUAGAGGUCCAGGUACGCACUCAUUCUCAUUUUGAUUAUUCUCUAUGCAUGCUCUUAUUUUCAUAUGUGCAAGUUUGAUUUGAGUAUCCGCUGAUUUCCUCAUUGAUUGCCACGUCAGCUUCAUUUUAUUAGUAGAGACCCGACUUUAGGGACUUAGAGGGGUGCUACGGUCUUUACCGUACCUUCCCGAUAAGUAACCUGACCCCCGAACCCGAUCCGGUUUUUCACAGACCGCCUUUUCCAAAAUAAGGAGUCACACUUAGGGUUUUUUCUUUCUUAUUUUGUUUACCCUUUAAAAAUAAAACAAAAAUAAGUGGCGACUCCAAGUCCUUUUUCAAAUAAUCAAUAAAAAUCAAUUUUUUUCAAAUAAAAAUCGAGCUCGCCAUCAAGUGGGAAACGCAUUGAGAUAGAUCGAAAUGCGGGGUCCACACUUUUACUAUCACUAUGAGACUAGUCUUAUUGGGAUAGAAUCUUUAAAAUUAUGAGAUAAUAUAACAAAAUAAGAUUUCAACAUUAUAUUUAUAUUUUGAUAUAUUUGAUUUCUUAUUCGGGAAUUGAAUUGUAUUUUACAAAGUAAAAUUUAAAUUUAAGUUUUAACUUUGAUUCCAAAUAGAUAUUGAAAUUACUUGGAUUGGGCAAUAAAGUUGAUAGUAGUUAAAUUUAGGAAAGUGAAAUUUCGAUUUGAAUUCAAUUAUGGUAACUUAAAAUUCACAAAACAUAGAAUUUCUCCUGCUUCUUCUUUUUUUUUUUUUUCUUUUUUUAGUCACGAUGAAAAACACUCUCAACAAGUUGUGUCUAGUUUCUAAUAUGCUAGUAACUCUAAAAAGUUGGAUUCCUUCAAGGCUUUCAAUUUUACUUAACACACCUUUAAGUUGAGCUUACAAUUUAGCUAUCUUUUUAUUGUUUAAAAGCACAUUAAUCAACUCAUCAAUUUUAUGAACUAUUAAUAUUAUAAUAGUAGACAAACUUCUAAUAUUUCAAUUCACCUCCUUUGUGCUCUUACCUUUUCCUUUGUAACCACAAUUUGGAACACUAUGCACAAUCAUAUAUCCUCAUGUAUUGACUUCUUAAGUUUGUAUCACUAAUGAAGUCUACCCCUAAGUGCUCAUUCAACCAUCUCCUCUAUAGGGACAUUUCAUGUCCCUUAUAAUUGUCCUUUAAUAGUGAGCAUAUGACACAAUUUUUAAAAUACAAGUCUAUCAAUUCUUAGUUGUGUCACACAUGUGUAACACACACGGUUCAAAGUAUCGGCCUAGUCGUAUCCACCUCGAGCCUCUUCGUGUCGAGUCUGAUACCUAAUACCCGAUACGAUCUAAAACUCAUACUCAAAUCAAGAAUCGUUUUAACCUUAGUUGACUUGAUUUGGGUUUCCGAGUUGACUAGGUCGAACCUUCCGAGUUACCAAAAGAAAUCAUUUUUCCACUUCAAAAUAAUAGCAAUUGAACAACAAUUGAGAUCUAAACCUAAAAAACCUCUGAAAAAUCAAAGAUUGCCUUCAAAAGGAAAAACUUUUCAACAAUCAAUACUCAUGACCCAUUAUGAAGAAGAAUAAAGGCAUCAAUCUAACCAUGAGUGUUGGAGGUGUAUAAGAAGAGGAGGUUGAGGACAUCACUAAUUGCAGAAUGGAUGUGGAGAGCCUUCAGUAGUGCCGUUGGGAAUGCAACAACAGUUGUUGCCUUUCUGUUUCUGCUUUUUUUGUCUUAUCUCACCGUGGUGUGGGUGAAUCUUGUGAGUGAAUUGGUGAUAUUGAAAAAAGGGUCGUGGGUGUGAAUUGGGUAUUUGGAGAAAGGAUAUUCGUAAUAUAUUAACUGAUUUUUUAAACUAUUAUUUCAUACGAUAAUGAUUUAUUGUUUUAUAUAUUAAUAGUGUGAUAUAAAUGAUAUGUAGUGCAUUAUUUUAUAUGGUAAUGGUAGCAUAUUUGGUGUAUUAAUUUCUUAUUAACAAUCUAUUCAAACCAUUUAAUUUGUUAUUAUUUUAACAUUAUUAAAAUCAUUUAAUCAAAAUUAAAAAUGGAAUUGAUGAUUGAGUUAUGUCUUUUAUUAAAAAUAUUAUUAUAUGUGAAAUAAAAUAAUUUUAAAUUUUUAAUAUUAUUAUAAAUUGCUUUCUACAAAGGCUUUAUAAUUGUUUAAGUAAUGUUAAAUGUGAAAUAAAUUUUAUUUGUUAAUUUUUUAAAACUUAUUUAAUUAAAUUUAUCUUUCUAAAAUUUUUUAUAAUAUUUUUGUAAUUUUUAAUUAUCAUAUUUUGUGUAUCAUACGAUAUCGAGCUAAGACACCGAGACCGAUGUGCCUCGGGACCGUCCGAGUUAAUGAACGCUACCACGACUUUGAACCAUGGUAACACAUUCUUGUGUAUAACCUUCUCAAAUUAAGUCCAGUUUGAAUGUGUAAAGCUAAAUAUCUUUUUUUUUUUUUUUUCACCAUUUUUUUCCAUAAAAGAACCAUGUUGAAAAGUAUUUUUAAAUUCUUUUUAAUUUUUCUUCAUUUAUGUUCAUAGUUUUCUUGAACAUCUUACUCAUGCAGUGGUGUAGGUCUGGCUAUCAUUGAGUAUCUCAGUUUCGAUGGUGGCACAGUCCAUGCUCAGAAGAAGUUGUUGCAGGAGACAUGAUAUGGCUCAUCUACAAGUAGUUUUGGCUGGCCAAAGUGAGGAGAAAUGACAACUCUGAGUUGGGUCUUGUACUUAUGUGAAACUGUUAGGCAUCAAUGAUGGCAUGGAGAAUCCAAUAUAAGAAUUAAUGGUGAAAACCUAGUCAAUGGUGAAAAGGAUAAUAGUGAUUGUUGGUGAUCUGAUGUGCUAGAAAUUGAUGUUGUCUCCAACAAACUCCGUUUCAUUCAUCCUCAAUGUGCAUGAAUGCCUUGUGCAUGGCCACCUUGCUCACGUGCUCCCUGAACACAACCCUCCCAAGCCUCCAUCAAAGUCUCAAAUUCCCGUCUUAUCCCGAGAACCCUCUGAUCAAAUAGCGCAGUGCAGAAUACUGGACAUUGAAGACCUGAGUAAGAACUCGAAACAAGUUCCCUCUCAUCAUUAGAUGGAUACAUACCCAGCUCAAUCUAUCACUUACAUUCCCAAUUCUGUCGUAAGGAACAUCGUGUGCAUAUUCCCGAGAGGUUGGAAAUAGUCAAUUGGCUAGGAGCAAAAUUGAACCACCACUUAAGCAAACACAGUGGGAACAACACUGCUGGACUGUCGUGGUGGUAUGGCAUUUCUGCAAGUGAGGUUUUGAGAAAGAAAUUUGUGGAGAUCAAGUUGAAAAGUAGUGGAAGAUCCUUGAGAAUGUGGAGUUGUACCAGUCCAUGAACAAUAGAUAAAUGCACCAUGUACUCUGCAUGACAGGAAUGCACCCUCAAUGCGUCACAUCAAAGUUCCACAAACUUCCAACCUCCACCUCCCCAGGCCCACUUCUGCACCCAUGCAUGGCCACCUUGGCCAUGCAAUUCCAUAGGCCACAUGUUUCCAUCCUCUUAAUUCUUCAUACAUGCCUUCAAAAAUUGAUUUAUAUAUAUAUAUAUAUAUAUAUAUAUAUAUAUAUAUAUAUAUAUAUAUAUAUAUAUAUCAUGUUUUUAAAUCAUUUCAAUUCCAUAACUUUUCUUUCUUCCUUAGAAUUUUUUUAGGUCAUCAAAAUUCAUUUUCAAUAAAAUUUACUAGCAUUUUCAUGUAAAAUAAAUUGGGUAUUGGUGAGACCCAACAUCUGUGAUUAAAUAUUGAUUGAUUUUGAUUUGUUUUGCAACAUAUGAUAUCAUUCUGUACUUGUUCAUUAACCUUGUUUUCAUGAAGCAAUCAACUCACUACUCAUGUACAGUACUUUUUACCUUUCUUGUUCAUUUAUUUAUUUUUAGAUUAAUAUUGUUUUGGUAUCCAUUGACUUUCCAAUCAAUUGUUAUGUUUGCCCUAAUUGAUUAUUAGAGACUCAUUUUUAGGGGUUUAAAGGGGUGUUACGGCUUAUCACUGUAUCUUCUCAAUAAAUAACAUGAUCUCUGGACCCAUAUUUUGUUUUUCGUAAACCUGUUUUUCCUUGAUGAGUCACAUUUUUUCUUUCUUAUUUUGUUUUUUCCUUCAAAACAAGUGUAAACUCCAAAAACAAUUUUCAAAACUCAAAUUUUCUAAUAAAAAAUGAGUCUUAGAAAUGCAUACAAGAAAUACAGGGUCCACAAAAGGAUAUUUAUUAUUUUAUCCUUUUAAUCAAAUAAUUUAAAAAAAUAAACUUGCAGACAUAAUAAUGCAAAUGAUUCCAAUUGGUCGUCCCAUUCUUUCCUUGGGACCCCUCUUAAAGCUAUUCUUUAUUAUGGUAAUUUCUCUUUUUAUAAUUUUUAUUAGAUACUCUAACUUGUGUAAUUUAGUUUUCCAAUGAUUUGGUUUCUAUAAUUCAAUUUAUAUUAAGAAAUAAUAUUAGCAUCAAACAAUGUAUUCUUUCGGCAACCAUUUUGUAGACCUCAAAAUUUAUCUCAAUUUUAUUUUUACAUUAAUUUUGAAUUCAAUUUUGUCCUUAGAUUUUAAAUUUCAAUUACAUAUGAUGUUUUUGACACACUCACUAUUUAAUUAUUAAUUUUUAUUAUUUUGUAUUUUAUUUUAUUUUUUAUUUUUUUUAAUUUUUUUUUAUUUUUUUCUCUCUCCUCUCUUCUCUCUCUUCUUACAUUUCCCACCUACCCCACUCACAUUCUCUUUCUCCUCCCGUACCUCUCCACAUACCCUCACGUCACCACACUCCCCCUACUAUCUUCCCUCUUUCUUUAUUAGUUGUUCUCCCCCCUAUUCUCAGGCAGCCAACUCCCCCUUCUCCCCUCCCCCCUAUUUUCUUCUUCAUUUUUUUCCCCAGCACUACUCACCACACUCCACUCACAGUUGGCUCCUUCAUUUGGGUUUCCCUAUUUUCUUCUUUAUUUUCUCUCCCCAAUCAUCAAUUUCCAGCCACACGCCUCUUCUCUCACUUCUUCCCCCAUUUUUCUUUUGUUAUUUUAUUUUUCUUCUUCUCCUAGCCUUUUUUUCUUCCAAUCUUUUUCCCUUUUCUUCCUCCACCAAACCCCACUUCUAGAGACGCACCACACGAGAAAAUUCUCUUAUCCCUUCUGCUCCCAUCUUCCUCUCAUUUCUCCAUUUUUUUCUACUCUUCAUUUUCCUUUCUUUAUUUUUAUUUUAUUUUUUGUUUCCUAGAAAAGCCAUCAAUUGCCGCCGAGAAUAUCACUGGUCUGACUGGUGACUUCCUCCCCUUUUAUCUCAUUCUCUCACUUUCCCAUCAUACCCAUUUUCUAUUAUUAUUAUUAUUAUUAUUAUUUUCUUUAUUUUUCUUGAUUUGAUUUUAAUAGUAAUUAUUAUUGAAAUUGAGUUUGUGCAUUUAUAUUUGUUUAUAGGCCUUAUGUUUGAACUUUGUUAAUUAGUAUGAAAUUUAGGUUAAUUUGUUGUUGGUAAAUUAAUGUGAAAUUUGGGAUAAUAUAUUAUUAGUGAAUUAAUUUAGAAUUAGCUAAUUUAGGGUAGAUUAAUUGAUAAUUUAUAUGAUUAUGCUCAUUUUCAUUAUUUAAUUUGGAUAGGAUAUAACAUUGUAGUAUAUUUUGGAUGUGGGAUUGCAUAUUAAAUUGAGUUGAUUUUGGUUGUGGAUUUAAGAUUGCAUAUUAAAUUGGGCUUGGACUAUGGGAUAUUAAAUUUAAGCCUGGAUUUAUUUUAAUUUAUCAUUUUUAAGUUUGAUUAAUUGAGCUUAUAUUUUGACUAUUAAUUUGAAAACUUUAAAUUAUGGUCUAUGAUAUGUGAGAUAUUUUUCUUGGGUUAUAUUUUUAAAUUUGGGCUCAUUUUUAAUUGCUGAAAUUUAUUGGACUAAUUCGAAAUUUGAAUUUGGAUUUGAAUAUUUGUUUAGGAUUUUGUACAUUUCUAGAUAUUUACUUUGGACUAUUUUUGUUUUUGCAUGGGCUCAUUCUACAAAUCUGUUGGCUGAGUACAAAUUUAUGACACGUGGAGCACGGAAUUUCAUGGAACAAAGUGAGACUCGAAAAGCUAUAAAUGGAGCAUUGAACUUGUUGUAAGCUUAUCGGGGUACACAUUUUAUUUCCCACUUUUUUUGUUUUUAUUUUUAUUAAUUCUUGUAAAUAUUCGUUUAUAUAUAUUUAUUGAGUGUAUAUAGAAUUAUAUAUUGAACAAACCAGAAAUUUUGUUUAAAUAAGAGGUAUAAUUGAGUAAAUAUGUUUUAAUAAAAUAAUAAUUUUAAAAUAUUCUUUUUAAUAAAAGAAAGUUUUUUUAUUAAUAAAAAUUCAAAAAAAAUGAUUUUAGAAAAAUCCAAAACAUUGUUUUUUAUAGAAUUUGAAAAUUUGUUUUUAACAAUAAUUUUCCAAAAUUUUUUUUGUUUAAUAAAAAUUGUCCAAAAAUUGUUGUGUAAAUAAAGUUGUCCUAAAAAUUGAUUUUUAAUUAAAAAUUCUUUUGCAAAUAAAUUUAUAUAUAUAUUUUUAAUAAUUUGUAUAAAACACUUUUUUUAAAUGAAAAUAAAUGCAAAUACUUUUUUAAAAUAAAAUUGUAAAAAAUCAUUCAUUUUUUGUAAAAACAAGUAAAAUAAUUUUUGUUGCCAAAUUGAAAUUUUACAAUAAAUUUUUUUGAUACAAUAAGUGUAAAUAACUUUUUUUGAACAUUGAAUACAAAUGAAGUUGAGGAAAUAAUUUGACUCCUUUUUUUGUAAAUAAAUAAAUAAAUUGAAAUUAUUAAUUGAAAAUUGUUUUUAACAAAAUUCUUUGAAAUUUCUUGAAAACUGAUUCUUUUGAAAUAUUUUUUUAGUUCAAUAAAUCGUUUUGCAUAAUUCUCUUGUCAUUUAUUUUGUAUAUUCUUCUAAUUAGAUUUCAUCAUUAUUUUUAUGUAUAUUGAUUUUCACCAUGACUUAUACAUACUCAUUUACAUGAUUAUUUUUCUUGGUAUCCACAAUUCCUUUAAUUCGUUUAGUAGAGGUCGUACAUAUACGAGCUUAGAGGGGUGAUAUGACUCAUUACUGUACCUUCCCAAUAAGUAACCUGACUCCCGGACCUAGACUCUGUUUUUCGCAGACCUGUUUUUCCUUCAGGAGUCACAUUUAAAGUUUUUAUUUAUUAUUUUGUUUUUCCCUUAAAAAAUAAAACAAAAAUAAAUGAGAACUCCAAGUCUUUUUCUAAAAAUCAUAAAUUUUUACAAAUUAAAUAAAGAACGAGUCAUGUCGUCGAGUGGGAACACACAUGAAAAAUGCAGGGUCCACACAUUUGUUUUCCAAUUCAUAAUUUUUAUAUUUUCUUUCUUAAAAUUUUUGGUGCAUUUACAUCUUGAGUUUUUAUUUAUUUAGUGUUUGUUGGAAUAUAUUUUUUGUUUUUAAUUUUUGAAACCAUAAAUUUUUAUAUAAAAUAAAAUAUUUUGUAUAAAAGUAUGAAUUUAUUUUAAAUCUUUAAAAAUUAAAAUUUAAAAUUUGAGGUAGUAAAUUUUUUUUUUAAUCCAUUACUUUUUCAGUAUAAAAUUUAAGUUAAUAUUUAUUACUUAAUGAUUUAAGUUGACUUUAAAGUUAAAUAAGUUUAAGUUGUUAAUUUAAAACUUAUUACUUAAUUUUUACUUUAAGUAUUAAGGUUGUUUAAUAAAUUUAAUUUAAAAUUUAUUUUAAAUUAUUAAAUUGAUAUAUUUUUCUUUAUAAAUUAUAAUUAGGAUAAAGAAGGUUGAGUAACAAUAGAGGUACAAAUGAAGAUGUGAAUUUAAGAAUAAAUUAAUUAUUUUUACUUAUUACUUAAACUUAUUUUUUUACUGUAAGUUAUUUUACCAAGCAUACUUAAUUUAUUUAAUGAUUUAAAUUAAAUUAUUAAGUCAUUUUCAAUUAUUAAGUUAAUUUACCUAACACCCGCUCAUUUUUAUUUCAACCUUUUCCUCUCUCCUAUGGUUGUGCCCUUCUCUCUCUCUCUUUAUAUAUAUAUAUAUACUUUUGAAUGCGCCACUAAUGGUGUAUUCAAAAGGCCAUGAAGCAUACGAAAAAAUGGGUUGGGCCGAGGAAGCAAAUUAGAAAAUUGGCCUCUUACCCACUCCAUCGCCAAUUGGGCCUUCCCAAGUCUGUAGUUGCAGAAGAUUGACAACACGUAGGUAUAGUCCAUAAAAAAAUGUGAUGAAUGGAUGAAAAGUAUGAUUUAGUGUACAAAAUGUUAUGAUAAAAAAUAUAUAUAUAUCAAAAAAAAAAAACACGAGCAAAAUAAAAAGAAAAUAUUAUUAAAAUAAAAAAUAAGAAUUGCUUUUGUAAGUAUAAUUGGACCGAAGAUUGGAUAUCUUGGACUAGCCCUUUGAACAAAUCUAAGUCUAGAAUGCAUUUACUAAUAUGAAAAAUUAUUGAACAAGCAAAUGUGUCAUUUAGCAUAUAUAUAAGUAGCGUAACGCAGUGUAUUAAGACCCGGUAAUCUAGGCUGGUCUCUAAAUCUAGUAAGUGAUAGGUGGAAUUUUCGCAUCUAUGUAUGAUUCCACCAUGUUAUUUUAAUAUGAAAAUAAUUAAUUAAAUAGCCAACAAAGAAUGUCUAAAUGGGUCACAUUUGACCAAGUCCUGUCUUUACUUUUUCUAGUUAAUCAAAUGGAAAGUGGAAGCCAAGAUGGAAUGGCCUCCAUUAUAAUUUGGUAAAAUGUCAUGAUUCUCUCACGUUGAGGCCGGGGGGGGGGGGGGGGGGGGGGCCAAAUUUUAAAAAAUUCCCAAACCCCCCCCCCAUAAAAAAUUUUUUUUUUUUUUUUGGGAAUUUUGGUGGGGAAAAAAAAGGUUUUUUUUUUAUUUAAAAAGGGGAAAAACCCUUUUUAAAAUUUCCCCCAAAAAAAUUUUUAAAAACCCCUUUAAUUUUUUAAAAAAUUUAAUUUUUUUUGGCCCCUUUUAAAUUUUUUUUUAAAAAAAAAGGGCAAUUUUUUCAAAAAAUUUUUUUUUUGGACCCUUAUCCUAAAAAAAAAUAAAAAACCCCACCCCCCCCCCUUUUUAAAAAAAAACUUUUUUAAAAAAGGGGNNNNNNNNNNNNNNNNNNNNNNNNNNNNNNNNNNNNNNNNNNNNNNNNNNNNNNNNNNNNNNNNNNNNNNNNNNNNNNNNNNNNNNNNNNNNNNNNNNNNGGAAAUUGCUCGAGAUGAGUGGGAAUAAUUAAUAGAUAGUAUGAAACUUGAGAUAGUUUAGGACCAAAAAUAUGGCACCACCAUGGAGUCUUAGGGAAUUUUGGCUGGGAUAUGGCAGCAUUAAUGGGAAUUCAAGAUUUGGGAAGGCAGUAUGGAAAUAUGAUCCAACACAAGUUUCUGUAGAUGUGGAGCUCAAACUAAUAGUCUUCAUGGUGGGCAAGUUGGCUAUGAUGUUGAAUUGUUGCAGUCCAUUGUGAAUAGACACGUGUUGCAUGGGGGGGGGGGGGGGGGGGGCCAAAUUUGAGACGAUUCACAAACACAACACCAAUUAAAUACUUUUUUUCUUUUUUAGUGAAUUUGAGUUGAGUAUAAAAAGGUUUUUUAUUAUAUUAGAAAUGGUAGAAACGCUUUCUAAAAUUACUCUCAAACGAACUUUUAAUAAUCUCAUUAUAUUUUUAAAUAAUUUAAUUGUAUUUGACUCAUUUUAAAUUUGUUUUUAAAUAAAUAGGUCAAUUGAUUCAUAAAUAUGUUUUAUUGAGACCUUAAUCAUAUAGAUAUAUACAAUACCUAACUCAACCUGCUUAUUAAAUAUGACUUGAUUAUUAAAUGGGUUACACAAUGUGUUACCUGUUUAAUGAUUAAGUAGUAUUUAAAUUUAUGUUUUUUAUAUGAUUGUUAUUCGUAUCAAGUUUGGGUUGAAUUAUGCAAUAGAAUACUUAGAUUUUGACACAACCCACUAAUACAAAUUAUCACCCUAAUCACAUAUAUAUUUACUUUGAUCAAAGAUUAUAAAGUUUGAUACGAUUUACUUACACGACUUGAAUCAAAUAUGUUUUUUAUAAGUUUAAAUCGAGUAUAAUUGCAUUUUGAUCAAAUUUAUAUCAAUUUAACUCGUUUAAUAAACAAGUUUAUUUUUAAUUAAUUAAUAUAAUACAAAUUUAAUUCGAAUUAAUUUAUUUAAUAAUCUCACUAAUUAACUCAAUUAUAAUCAUAAUUUAUUUAACUCACAUUUAACUUAUUUUAAAUGUACUUUUUAAUGAAUUGAAUUAUAAAUAUAUCAAAUUAAUAAAUUAAACAUAUCACUCAAACAAAAUCUAAUUCAAUUAUUAAAUAGGUUAUACAAGGAAUUAGCUUUUCGAUACAUAAAACAUGUUUAUGCUCAUCUUUUUAAUUUGACAAUGAUUGAUCUUUUUAAUCAAGUGAUUUAGGUAUUCUAACAUAUUUCAUAUGUGGGGGCUCAUCUUUUUUAAGAGAGAUUCAAACCACAAGCUUAAUACACUUUUGAAAAGGCGAUCUACCGCGGGAUAUAGGAUGGGAAGAUUAUCCUAAUCCAAGUGUUACAGGUCAUUUUUCUUCAUUCUGCCAUGAAAGUGGGGCCACGGUUUGUCGCCUGGGCCCUCUCAGACUUUAAUGCUCUGUUUUAUGUGUGACAAGAGGAUGGCGCCAUGGCCUGAUGGCCUGAUGGCCUCACGGCCUCAUGGGCCCUGCAAAUUUGGUCAUUUUAAUUUUCACUAAAAUAAGUUAAGACUCGUUAGAGUUUACUUGGGUUGAUUGAAUGUUCUACUGGAUUGGAUUGGAAUGGAAUAUGAUACUUUGUCAUGUUCUUUUUGUGAUUUCUUUGAUAGAUUCAUAUUCUCCAUGGCUUUUCUUUUACACCAACUAUAUUCCCCUUAUACCCUUGCUCAUAUCUUUAUAUUUUAAUUAUUUUUUAAUUUUAUUUUACAUAUGGGAGUGUCCAUUCUUAAUCAUAUGUUUUUAUUAUUAUUUUAUUAGCAUGUAAGUAGAAUUCAAUUGGUUUGAAUUAACAUGUAGAAGCCAAAAACUCUUUUCAAUUUAAAAUUUAUUAAAUCAGUAUUAUCUUCGUCAAUUUAAAAUAAAUAUAUGUUAAUUUUUUGGUAUGUUUUGAACGAGUCAAAACCCGUUUUUCCCUUUAGAACUUUGGAGGCAGCUAGGCGUGUGAAUGUGUGAGGAGGCGGACCAAUGAUUGUGUUCAUUAAAAUUUUAUAUAUCGGGUCCAUUCUGGCUGUGGGAGGCCACAUCACAAUAAUAUUGUGAAAGUCACAGAUCAUCUUACCUUGAUUAAAAUAGAAAGGGGUUUACACGUCAUCCUGCCACAAAUAUUUUUUUAUAAUUUACUUGGUGAAUGCACCCGGCGGUGACCACACUGUACACUGUAUAGUCCACUAAUACAUAAAUUUGAACAAACCUUGCCCAUCAUUAUUUUCUCCAUAUGGUAAGUACUAAUUCAUUCAAUGGUUGGACUCCAGCAGGCAGCCCAACGAUAAUCAACGCUCUAAAAUUUGACCGUAUUUUAAAAUUAAAAAGUGUUUUUUAAAAUAAAAAUGUUUUUACACUUUCUUUAUACUUGAAAAAAAAAAUUAACUAUAAAAAAGAUUAGAAAGACUUUUUAAAGUUAUUAUCAAACGGAUUUUAAAUGUGUGAAAAAAAAUGUAAAAAAUAUUUAAUAAUAGUGUAUUUAAUAAUAAUUUUAUUAAACGUUUUUAAUAUUUAUAACACUUGAAAUUUUUUUAAUAUUUUUAAUAUUAAAAAAAUAAAAAAUUUCAAAUAUUAAAAGUGUUAAAAACACUUCAUAAAAUUACUAUCAAAUAAACUUUUAAAACAUGUUUGAUAGUAAUUUUAGGAAGUGUUUCUAAUAUUUAUAAUAUAUAAAAGAUUAAAAAAAAAAUUAACAUAAAAAAAGUUAAAAAUACUUUUUAUAAUUACUACUAAACACAUUUUUAAUUUUUGUUCAAAAAUAUUUUUUAUGUUAAAAAUAUUUCAUAAAAUUACUGUUAUACGGUUAGUGUUUCUUUAAAAAACACUAUAAGUGAAUUUUUAACAUUAUAAAUAAUUUUUCAGAUUUUUAAAAAUGCUUCCUAAAUUUUGUUAUAUAUUUAUUAUUAUUAUUAUUAUUAUUAUUAUUAUUUAAAUAUUUUUUAAAUUAAAAAUAUUUUCUAAAAUUAUUAUCAAACCGUAUUCUAAACAUUUUCUUAAUAUAAAAAAAUAAUGAUUAAAAAUAAAAUGAAACACUAUAUCAUAUCAAAAUAAUAAUGAAUGGGAAAUAAAAUGAAUUUUCCAUUUUUCUUUACGUGUUGUAAUAUCAUGAAAUUGCCCUCAUUGCAAGUGUUUAAAAUUUAGAAGGAGAGAGGAAAGGGAAGUAACCGUGAAAAAGCAGGGGAUUCCUUACACGCUAAUUAGAGCUGAUCUGUUACAAAAAUCCGGCAGAAUGUCUUUUUCUCCCUUUUUCCGUUGCAUGAAAAAAAGAAAUCCGGUGAAACCGCUGGAAAGGAAAGGGGAAAAGAAAGAAAGGAAGAAAAAAAAAAAAAAAAAAAAAGAGACGCGUGUUGCCUUAUUAAAGGACAAGGAUUUGGCAUUCGCCUCUCUAAAAUUCACACCGACUCCCAAUUUUCAUUAGUCCACCUCUACUUCCCUUACACGUGCCUAUAUAUUUUAAAGUUAAGCUGGGUGUGAACCCACCAACACAUGUUCAUACCAAUCCAUUUUCUGUAAAGCCCUUCCUACAAUUAGCUCUAAGUCUGCCUGCAUGAUUCCACGUGUUCCAUGCAUGUCUACCAGUUCAACAUGUGAUGGUUGCCAUGCUUUUACCAAUAAUUUUACAAAAAGGGAAAAAGAAAAUCCCAUUUUAAGAUGACUAGUGAAUAGUCUUCUCAUGCAACUGUCGGCUAUUAGACAGUGUCAAAAAGGCAAAAAAUUUAUAGAAUCUUAUCCUUAGAAGGUGCGCCUGGGCUCACCGCUUUCUGGUGAAUCUUGUGUAACGGACGAUCUGUGAUUCUGUAGCCGCUGGCCGAAAGUUUUUGCACUUUUUUGCAUCCAAAAAUAAAAUAAAAUGAAAUUAGUUACCUUACAAAUCUUUAUGGAUAGAGAGUCAAGUCAAAAGUCUUUUCUUUCAUUUAAUAUAUAUUUUUUCCUCUAAGUAUUUUCUUCUCCGUUUUGUCGCCUUCAAAGCAUCCUUUCACAUUGGGACAUGACGUUUUAAGCCAUCUCGGUUUGAGGGUAGAAUAAGCUUUAAGUUGCUCAAAACUUAAAAGUGUUAAUUAAUACUUUAAUUUCAGAAACUUUCUUUUCUUUUUUGAUGGAUUAAAAUAUUAAUUUUCAGUUUUGAUAUCAACAAAAAGGAGAAUAAUUUUUUUUUUUUUUUUUUUUUUUGGGGUUGGAAAAUUAUAGCACUGGUUAUGAAAGUGUGAAUUAAUUUUGAAAGAGACUUUUGAGCAACCGGUAAAGCCGAAAGAGAUAAGGGUGGUUUUGUCAUCCUCCGAGUCCCAACUACUAAUCUACAUGCAUUUGGAAUGGAAGGGGAUGGACAGCAGACGCAUGUAUUUAAUUUGCAGUGUGGAUACGUAGAGGAUAACUUCCACCUUCGGAUUUGACCAAAGGGAACGUGACCUGGUCAACACUCGACUCCUACGUCUGUCUACCUGCAUAGAUAGAUACCCCACUCUUGUUUGGGAGAUGCACAACAUUGUUCCAUUUCCAAUUAUUUUGACUCUCUAAUAAGAUUUGAUUAUGCUAAAAAUCAAAAUUAGUAUUGGAGGUACCAAAACUUUUACGCUAUGUAAAGUUUUGGAAAGUUUAAAGAGAAAUAAAAGGAAAAUAAAAUAAAAAAAAUGAAGAAAAAUAAAAAAUUGAUUUAAAAUCAAUAAAUUAUUUUUAUAUACGAUUUUAAAUUCAUUUUUUAAAUAUUAAAUAACUUAAAAAUGUAUAAAUUUUUAAUUAAUUGUAAUUAUUUUUUUUCUAUUUUUUAUAGUGAAAUCAAAUAUGAAAAAAUUAUUUUACUUAAUUUUUUUUUUUUUAAUAAUUUCUAAAAACCAAAGAUAGUCUUAUAAAAUAAUAUGCUAAAGAUUAAAAAAAUUAUUAUAUUAAUGAAGUUAUUAAUUUAUCAAUAAUUGAAUGAUUUAUUAAUUUAUCAAAUUAAUGAAUGUUUAUUAAUUUAGAGAGAAUAUUAUAUUUAUAGUAAAGAGUAAUUAUAUAUGUAUGACUUAUGAAUUUAAAAACAGUAGAUAUGAUAAAAAAAAAAUAAUAUAUUGAAAUUUAAGAUAUUUUAAAAAAGAAAAUAUGAUUAUAAAAUUAUAAGAGAGGAAAACUUUUAAAAGAAAAUGACACAAUUGCAUAACUUAAUGUCGUAAAGGAUAAAGAUGUUUUUUAUGGUUUGAAGAAAGAAAUAUGUAUAAUUAGAAUAAAAAAGACGAGACAAAAUAAUACUUGAACUUGUCUUAAAUCCAUCUCCCGUUUGAAAAAAAAUUUCAAAAGCCCUAACUUAUUCCUAACUUACUUAUUUUAAUUAUAAACCCAUCCCAUUAAAUGUUAAACAAAUAUCCGAAAAACUCAUCUCAUUCUUAUCACUAACAAAUGCCCAAAUUGAACGUGUAAUAAUCAAUAGCGGAGUUAGGAAGUUCAAAUGGGUAUCAUAUUUGGGUGAUAUUGUAGAAGAUUGAAUGAGCUUUCCACAUCAAAAUCUAAAAAGUCCAUGUACUAGUUGCAUUGGGAAAUUGAAUAAUGAAUACUUCGACCAAUAUUAUUUCGUUUUACCUACGGAAAGGGGUGGAACAUGACCGGCCCGCCCGUUCCCUCUACAUCCUCCGUCCACAUUGAGGCUCCUUAUCCCAAUAUCAUAUCAGUUGAAAUAUCCACAGAUAAUUUAAUUAUUUACGCCAACACUCUUAGAAAUUAGAACCAACCCAAGAUUUGAAAGUAUAGACAUCCUACUACUAAAGCCAGUUCCCAUUGGGCAAGGGGGUGCCGAUAUCCAUCUACUUUUCAAAAUCAAAAGCCGAAAAGCUGAAAUGAAAGCAUUUUGAAAUUUGAUUGGUGCUUUUGAAAAUAUUCAUCAUAAGCCCAAUGAUCCAUUUUCUCCACGUGGACAAUGCAUGAAAAAUAAAAAUCAGCGUAUCACCCAAUUCCUUGGUGCCUCGAUUUCUGGGUUGAUCAAACAAGGAUUAGAACGGAAUCAUUAAUAAGAACUGGAAGGGAAAAUUAUGGGGACUUUCCGACAAUUUUUUUUUUUUUAAAAAAAAAAAAAAAACUAUUCUUGUUGUGGAAUUUCGCACAUGCCUAAAGAGAGGCAAUAAAAGUCAUUGGAUACUUUUCAUUUUUAGUGAGAUUGACCAGGUGUGAAAACCCGACAGCAGCAAAAUUUGUUUUAGAAAACAAUUUUGAAAAAAAUGCUUUUCUUUUUAAAUAGUUAUAAAUUAUUUUUAAAAAGCAAAUUUUAAAAACAGUUUUAAAACAUGUCUUUCUUUCUUGAGAGGAUUUUUUUGUUACCCGUAUAUAGCAAAACGUAGCUACAUACUGCCUCGAAGAUAAUGUGUGCCUUCCACGUUUUCAAAUCGUACAAGUAAAAGUAAAAACACGAGCCGUAUCGCAUGACUCUUCCGACACAUUAAAAUAUUAAAAUAUUGUAAUUUUUCCACACGAGUGAAACACAUUUUGGCAUUUUCAAAUUAAUAUGUUUAGAAAAGUAAUUUUAAAAAUAUUAUUUUUAAAGAUAUUUAGCGAAAUUUAAGAAUAUUUGAUUUACAAGAAUGAUAAUGGAGGGAAUCAACGAAGUGACGAAGAAGGGAGGAUUUUCCAGGUUUUUAACUAAAAAUAAUAAGGGGUGUGAUCUUGGACUUAAAUUUGGAAAAAGAAAAAAAAUUGUCCUCUUUAAUAAUUUCCGUCCAAAAAAAAAUAUAGCGGGGAGCUUUUGAACCCCCCUUCCUCCCCCUCUCUCUCUCCUUCUCUCUCUCUCAAUCUUCAAAAGUCUCUUUUGACCACCACCAGACCACCAUCACCUUCUUCUCUUCUUCCUCUCAUCUGCUGUAGACUUUCCUCACAUGAUCUCAUUGUUAUCUCUCUUCUGGGUAUGUGUUAUGGUGGUGAGCUAGUAUUUAUUGAAAUUUUGGAUGGUUUUGAUCUGUGAAAAUCUUUGAGGGAAAACAUGGGGGCGUGCCUCUCCGCCACCAAAGUCAGAAGCUCCAACAGCAACACCACCGCAAACGCCGCAGCCACCAAGAAUACCCGCCCUAGAGGGAGCUCCAAGACUAGCAAUAAGAAUCAGCAGAAGAAGCCGCAGGAGGGAGACAGGAAUCGGUCAAAUCAACAACACAGGAAUCCUCAGCCGCAGAAGGUCAAGGAUAGGGCCAAUGGGAGGAGGGGGACUGGGAUUAUCCCUUGUGGGAAGCGCACCGAUUUUGGGUACGCGAAGGAUUUUGAUGCUCGCUACACCAUCGGCAAGUUGUUGGGCCACGGCCAAUUUGGGUAUACGUAUGUCGCCACCGAUAAGGCUAAUGGGGAUCGAGUUGCGGUUAAGAGAAUUGAGAAGAAUAAGGUCUGGUUUGGUUCCUUUUUCUUCUUCAUCUUCUUCAUCCAAUUGGGUUUUGUAUUUUUCGGUUGACUUCGUUGGAGAUUUUGUGAACUUUAUAGCCUGAAUUUGAUGAUAAAAUGGGUUAAUCAGAAAAUUUUCCUUUUUAUCGGGUGAUUUGGUUUCAUUGAGGUCUUCUCUAGUCAAUUGGGGAGGGAAAAUAUUAGGAUUUUGUCAUAAUGGAACUGAUCUUGAUCGCUUAAUCUUUGAAGGGUAAUUUGCUUUCCAUGUACAUAUAAUUUUCUUUCGCUAAUCAAACUUCAUAGUCAGGUAACCUUUCUUCAAAAUUGGUGUGUAGAUCACUUCGGUUGGGUGGUUUUUUCUGUUUUUCCCAAAUUUUAAAUGAUACACUGUUCCAGUGUUCCUGUUUGGUUCAAGUUAUAUUUCUGGAAAUUUGGUUUUAAUUUAGACACCUGCUGAGCUGAUGGAGGAUGUACUGUGCUUGUUUUUAUCCAAUUCUCCUGCAUUUUGAGAACUGUUUCUUCAGUAGGCCUUACUGGAUCUCAUAGGGUUCGUGGCCUAGAUCUCAAUAUAAUAGCCAUAUGGGGAUUCCUUGUAUGUUGGAGACAGCAGACAAUUCCGAUAACAGCACAGACACUGGUAGUCAAAUAUAGGUUCUCAGAUGUCAACAAUGGGUACAAGACUCGAUAUUUCUCGAGAUUUUAAGGAGCUCCCUUGUUUUGUGCUUGGGUUUUUUAUUUUUUUAUUUUUUUUAACUUAUUUAUUUAUAUAUUUUAAUUUCAUGUUUUUCUUCUCUUGGGUUUCUCUGAUGAACAUGAAUUUGUUAAUCACAUACAGAACAAUUAAUUGUAACUGAGAAAGAAAUUUCCAAAUUUGUUCCUUGAUAUCUUCACCUCCUGUUUAGUAUCCUCAAAAUAUAUCCCGUUAAGGAAUCUUUAGUUCUAUCAUUAUAAUUGAUAUGGGUUAUUGAUAUGAUAAAGAUAUGAAAUCUUUAAAAUGGGGCAAAGAAUGUUUUGUUUAGUUUCUGUUCAAUUUUUUGACAUUUCUAUGCAUUUUUGUUGUUAUCAUGUUUACAGCAAAUGGUUUUAUUUGAUGGCAGAUGAUUCUUCCUAUUGCUGUUGAAGACGUUAAGCGAGAGGUCAAAAUAUUAGAAGCGCUUACCGGCCAUGAGAAUGUGGUUCAGUUCCAUAAUGCAUUUGAGGAUGAUUCUUAUGUCUAUAUAGUUAUGGAGUAUGUUUUGUGAUUUGAAGCUUCUUACUAAAAUCGUUCUUUGGCUAAUUGUCUGUGCCAUUCAUUUGAUUGCUUUGUGUGCUAUUAAUUUAUCUAUUCUUUUGUUAAUUCUCUGUAUUGGCAGUACAUUUAUUUCUCUCUUCUGUCUACUUAUCCUUUUUUUUUUUUUCACAAAAUUAUUGUCUGUUAUAUCACUACCAACAUUUUCCUGAAUGUGGUUUCUUAAUAUCUCUUAUUAGGUUAUGUGAGGGUGGUGAAUUGUUGGAUCGGAUAUUGGCCAAGUAAGAAUCUUCAACUCUUGGAUAUAAUUUUAUUGUUCCUGGGGUAAAAUGGAUUCUCUGUGGUGCAUCUUUGGCCACAUCUUUGUGGCUAAAUUUUGAUUAUAGUUCUUCUCAAUAACAGCAGAAUUGUCAUUCUAUUAUACAGUUAUCUUUAGGACAUUAUUAUUUAAUACAGUGUUACUUAUCUUUGCUUUGUUUCUUUGAUCAGGAAGGAUAGCCGUUAUAGUGAGAAAGAUGCAGCAAAAGUUGUAAGGCAGAUGCUCAAAGUUGCAGCUGAGUGUCAUUUACAUGGUCUGGUACACCGUGACAUGAAACCAGAGGUAUAAUGAAGUUUGCUGGCACACAUCAAAAUUUUGGCUUUAAUUUGUAGCCAUUAUGCCUAAUGGUGCUUCCCUUACAUUUUUUUAUCGCAUGUAGAAUUUUCUUUUCAAGUCAACCAAAGAGGACUCGCCUUUGAAGGCCACGGAUUUUGGUCUAUCAGACUUCAUAAAGCCUGGUAAGUGAAAUUUCGCCUUCUCAAUAUAUGGACUUUGAAAUCCAUAUUUUCAUGGGUUUCUGUUGUUCAAACAAUUACAACAUAUGCUUCUAGCUUUUGAAUUGGAAAAACUGAAUAUGAAUAAACACAGGGAAGAAGUUUCAAGAUAUUGUUGGUAGUGCCUACUAUGUUGCUCCUGAAGUAUUGAGACGGAAAUCGGGACCUGAAUCAGAUGUCUGGAGUAUUGGUGUCAUUACCUACAUUUUGCUCUGUGGGAAGCGCCCCUUCUGGGAUAAGACUGAGGAUGGAAUUUUCAAGGAGGUGCGGUGCAUUCUUAAUUUUGGAUACUGACUAUCUUUUUUCCUGUUUUCCCUGGGACUAAUACUGGUUGUUUUACUUUUUCUUUAAUUUGGUAUAAAGUUGCAUGUACAUUAUAGGCUUGUACCAAUCUUUGCCUCACAUGUUAAUUUGUUCACAAAAUUACCUCUUUUUUCAGCCAACAAUUAUCUUUCACUAUUUACGCUCAAACUUUUAGCUUCGGUACAUUUUGUAUGAAAGGAAAAUUAGACCAGCACCAUUACAAAGGUUUUUUGUUUCCAUUUUCUCCAUUCAUUUCCUGAGCCAUGUUACGUUCGUCGAUGAAAUCUUUCUUGAGUGUUUUUCCCCCUCUAUAUUGGAUGUUCUGUUGUGCUUGUAUUUUUUCUCUUCCUGAGUAUGCUUAUUGGUCUGCCUAACAUCCAGGUCCUUAAGAACAAGCCUGAUUUUCGCCGCAAACCAUGGCCAACCAUAAGCAAUGGUGCUAAAGAUUUUGUAAAGAAGUUACUAGUGAAAGACCCUCGGGCAAGACUUACUGCUGCUCAGGCCCUAUGUGAGUAUCCAGUUCUUCUCCUGGAGAAUAUAAAUGAUGAUUAUUACAGUCUACUGGAAAUUGGAACAUGUGUCUUAACAAAAUACUUCUUGUGUUGGUUACUGAAGUUUUUAUCAAGGCUGCUUUCUUUCAAAGUUCUUUCAUUAUGGUUAUUAUAUGUGAUCUAUGUUGGACUGUUAUGGUUUGCCUCUAUGUUUUUUGCCUUCUGUGUUUGAUUUAGCAUCCUGACUGGGAAUAACUUUUUCAGCACAUCCAUGGGUUAGAGAAGGAGGAGAUGCCUCUGAGAUUCCGAUUGAUAUUUCUGUUCUGUCCAACAUGCGUGAAUUUGUCAAGUACAGUCACUUGAAACAGUUUGCUUUAAGGGUAUGGUUUUCUUUGUGAGAUCUUUGUGGCAGAAUAUACAUAAUUGUUUUCAUUACUGGUCAAAAAAUGAUGUCUCCUGCUAUAGGCAUUGGCGAGCACGCUUGAUGAUGAGGAACUGGCUGAUCUUAGGGAUCAAUUUGAUGCUAUCGAUGUGGAUAAAAAUGGCUCUAUUAGCCUUGAAGAAAUGAGACAGGUUUUUUUUUUUCUUUCUAAUUCUACUUUUGUUUCUCAAGCCUAGGAUGUUGCAACUCUACAAUUUAAUAUCCAUCCUUGAACAAAUGUCAGUUUCAUAUGAACAGGGACUUCUUUUUCCAUUUUUUCAUAACAGAGAUGUUUCCUAUACAGGCCCUUGCUAAAGAUCUUCCUUGGAAGAUGAAGGAAUCACGAGUUUUAGAGAUUCUUCAAGCAGUAAGUAUAUAUUUUCCAGAAAAAGAAACUUCCAGUUGGUCAGUUGAUUAUUCAUUUCAUCCUUGCAAUUUUCAUCUAUAAUGUUAUAGAGUUUUCUCCAUUUUCCCCCACUAGAAAAAAAAAAGGAAGAAUCAUUGGAGGGUGAUCAUUAGCGUUAUUUAGAACUCCUAGAGAAACCAACAUUUCUGGAACACCCUACUCCACAUUUGGCAACUUGACAAAUGUUCAUCACCCUACUUCCCUCUUUAUGUUGUGGAUAUUUUUUCCUUUCUAUGGUCUGGUAUCCUAAUGGGAGCUACCAUUUGCCUGAGGCAGAUUGACAGCAAUACAGAUGGGCUUGUGGAUUUUACCGAGUUUGUUGCAGCCACUCUACACGUGCAUCAAUUGGAGGAACAUGACUCUGAUAAGUGGCGACAGCGGUCACAGGCUGCUUUUGACAAAUUUGAUGUGGAUAGGGAUGGGUUCAUAACCCCAGAGGAACUUAAACUGGUGAGUUUUAUACCUUAUAUUGAAUCUCCAACCACCCAGCCCAAUCCUGCACUCACACUGUUCAAGGGUUUAAUUCCUUUUUUAGUAAUUAGUACAUUCUGAUUGGCUGAACACAAGAGACAAGGUCCAGAUUUUGGCUGAGAUCCAGCCACUAACGAUCCACCACAUGAUUUUAACAAUUGUUUCUUGUAAAAAAUAAGAAAUUUGUGGUGAGAUUUUGGUGUUAGUAGUUUUCUAAGCCAUUAUUUUUGUGGGAGUGAUAUCCCAAUAAUUCUGUUCUCCCGUGCCAGUGAAAAUCUAUGCCCAUUAAAUCUUGCAAAGAAAUAGGCCAUGAAAGCUAAGCAAAAAGGUUAUAUGCUUUGCUUUCAAAUCAUGCUGGACUUUUGGAACCUGGAUUGCAUCAUUCAAUUGGACCAUGGGCACCGAUCAGUCUACCUGGGUUUCAGGUUUUUGGUUGACUUGUUUUGGUCAAAGACAGACUACAUAUAAACUACUAUUAAUAAUGUAUCCCUAUCAAAGCAUACCAUACGUGAAUUAUAGGUUCAUGCCAACGACAUUAGAAUAUAUAGGUUUUCCUCUAUAGACUUUCCUGGUACUAUUUUUAUCAUAUUUACAUAUAUUUUCAGUAUGAUCUAUAAAUAUUUAUUGACUAGGAUAUCUUCACUUGAAAAUGGAAGAAUCAAAACCCAGAUACUUAAAUAGUUGAACACUUGAUAUGGGAUGUCAGUCACUCAUCAGUAUAUUUGAUGUGCUAAAUAAUGCUUGGAAGUGUUAUAGUAGUCCUGUCAUCCUGUUUUGGCAAUAUGAAAACUUUACUAGCUGGGAGCUGGUGAGUGAUUGCUGGCCCGUUUUCCCUGGGGUGAAACCCCAUCUUGUGUUUUUCCUGUAGACAGCUUCAUGUGCUUGGUUUUUGUGAUCUUAUUAUUUUUUGACAUAAAGACACGGCCUGACCAGAGAUUGCUUCAUUUUUGCUGUGUAGCACACGGGCUUAAGAGGCUCAAUUGACCCACUGCUAGAGGAAGCUGAUAUUGACAAAGAUGGGAGGAUAAGCUUGGCAGAAUUCCGAAGGCUUCUAAGAACAGCAAGUAUUAGUUCGCGACAAGUACCUAGCUCAUCUGGUUUUCGGAAUCCUCGGAAAAUUUAGAUGUUAGUGGGUUUUUUUAAGGUUGGGAGAGAAGAAAGGGGCGAAUAGAGGUGGGAGAGUGCACUUUUGUGGUUUGUUUUCUCAGAUUUACGUCAUUUGAAAAUUGUAAUCGAUCCUGUAUGUGCCCUUAUCUGCGUCUGUCUUGAUAACAAUCCUGAAGAGCCUGUUUGGAAACUCAAGUAAUCACUGAUGGGAAUCCGCAAAGGCCUCAAGAACACAAAGGGUGUUUAUGAGUUGGUAUGACUUCCACUUCCAUGCAUGUGGCUCCUCUACCACGAUGGCUUAAAAUGUUUACACUAGUGUACAUCCUUCUUACCGUCAGGGGUUAUUUGCUUGUGCCCUACAAAAUGUUAAACGUGUGACUAAAUAAAUUAUUAAAGAAAAUUUGUUGUAUUAGAAUUCAUUUUAUGUACUUCCAUAUUCUGAUCUCAAACCCAGCUUAUCCGAGCAAAAUUGGCAUAAUAAUCCCCAUUAUUUGAUUUGGGCUUGUUGACGGAACUGAAAAUAAGGUAUCUGGAUUGAUUUUAAAAGUUGUCAAAUGGCCAAAUGGUUUCUGAACAGAAGAAAGCCUUCCUACUUGUUUUGUUUUGUCCUUUUUUCCAGGCUCGGAGAGUAAAAACAGAAAACCAACACCUCGGUAACCCAAGUGGGAAAAUUCAUGAGAGGUAAACGACCGUGGGCAUUGUCAACUGAACCAAGAAAUUUACAACUGAUAAGUUUUACGUGUUAGAGAGCUGGGCACCUUCGACAUACAUAAUUUACAAAUGGAUGAAUCCAACCUGACCAACUAUUGUAAUUUUCAACUAGCAGUCUCUCAACCUUAUAGGGGGGUGAAGGCAGACUGAAGAUAUUUUGUUUCUAUUCAGUUCCAAUCAAAACGGGGAACACCAUCUGCCCUAGUCCUCCUUGAUGCCAAGAUAAACCAAGUAGCAACGUAUUUCCCUUUUAUCCCUUAGUAGCACAACAAUCUCCUCUCUUCUAUAGUAGAGACCCCAUUAGGAGGGACAUUGGAAUUUAGGGCAGUUGUACCCAAAUCCAGAGUGCUAGUACCAGUUUGUCACAACAAAUCAAAUGCUACCUUGAGAGGUUAGCAGUUGGAGAUGGUCCAUGGCACAUUCAACCAGAAAUUACUUAUCAGAUUUUGGGAGGUCACCCACACUGUUGGAGGAGCUGUCCUGGAGAGCUUGAGAAGAAGAAUACUUGCUUGAACAGCUUCCAUCUGUAGCACUUCUUUCCUUCCUUUGUGAUUGUUUGCCCUUCUUUUCCCCUGUCAGCAAAUCCUGCACAAACACAAAAUUCAGUUAUAUUUUCUAUCUUUAAUGUGCUUGGAGUUUCUGCAAUGGGUUCCUGUUACAGAUCAAGCGAAAUCUAACCUGUUGUGAUGAUGAUCCAGGUGUCUUUAGUUCAAGGUCUGUUGCCACAUCAUUAGAUUCAUCGCAUUUUUCAGUGUUGCUGCUCCUUUCACGAUCUGAUGACUUGCUUUUGGAAUCUGGUUUGCUUGACACAUGAGAAGCAGAUGCAUAUUGGGCAGAUGGAACUUCAGUAGGAGGAUUAGCAGGAGUUUGAUAUGGAAUAAAAGUUGAACAGGGAUUGGGGAUUCCACUAGGAUUCUGAUUUCCAAAGAAAGGAAAUGGCUGUAGAGAUGGAUGCAUGGGAAUUGGACCAGAAGGAACAGGCACAGGAACUGGAUAAGAAUAGGGUGAAGGACCCAUGACAACAGAAGGAUCGAUUGGAGCCCAUGGAAACAUGACCCUGAGCCUUUGCUGAUAUUGAACAUUAAGAUUGUCAAUAUCAGACUUUAGAGCUACCUUUUCUUCUCUUAGUUCAUUCUUCUCCUGCACUAGCUGAUUGUAAUAAAAAGAGAACAUUAGCAACUGAUGAGGCAGGUGACCAAAUGGGCCAAUAAAAUUGGGAAAAAACAUUAAAGAAAUACCACCUCACGAGAUUCUUCAGAAAGUGCAGCACACUCAACUUUUAGUCUGUUGACUUCAGCAGUCAAAUCCUUCAGCAUUUGAAUUGUAUCUGCAAGGAUGGUUGCCUUGUCAUUCUUGGGCCUAUCUGGGUCUGCAUUUGAACUUUCUGUUAGUUAAAUAAAAGCACUUUAAACUUUCUAAGGAAGGAUUAUGAAUAGCAACAGUUGAGGAACACAACUGUACAAUGAUAAUACUCAUGUUUCGUAGGCCAAACAAAUGAUCUAGCAAGUGCUGGAGGGAUGAUCUGACAACAGAUAAGCAAACACAAGCUCUGAAUAAAAUGAACACAAUAAACAGACACCUGGUUUACAUCUCUUAGUUAUCAAUCAUAAAUUGGUGGUACCAAAUAAGGCAGAUGCACUUAUGCACAUUGAUAAUGUUCACAAUGACUGUAAACACAGUCCAUAAUACAAGAUGAAUGGAUCUUUACUUGAAAUUUCUAUGGUCAAGGAAAUGAACAAAACUAACUAGUUUAAAGAACCUAUUAGGAUCAGAAAAAACAAGACAAUUUGAAGAGAAUGACAGGGACUUGAAAAAAUGGAUCCUGGAAAUCAGGGAAUUUUCUCAGGUGAUGAUCAGCUAGUCACAUUUAGCAGAAUAAUAUAUAAUUCAGACAAGAUAAUAAAAGGUGAUGAUGGCCAAGCUACUAACCCAUGAGGGCAACUAGAGAUCUAAAGCCAAACAUGGUUGACAUAAAGGAAACUGUAAAGCAGAAGGAAGUUGAAUUUGAAGAGAUUCUAAGAAAAAGUUGCAACCUCUCUUCCUUAUGGUUAAACCCAAGACUGCAACACCACCAAGUGUCAGGAGACAAAGUGGAACUGGGAACAGAACCAAAAGCAUUAUAAUAAACGCAUUAAAAGGAAGAAAAAGGGCUCAAUGCAAUCUUAGAGCAGAGUUUGAAUUGCUGUUCUGGAGAAACACAAUAGUCAGGAUGCACUCUUUUAAACCACCGUCUAAGGGUAAUAAAAAAAAUGACACAAUAGCGCAUCAGCACAAGAUUGUAACAAAAAAGCUUUACUCAUUCAAACACCAAUAAGAAAGAGUACAUGUGAUCAUUAAGUAUUAUUCCUACAUCUGCUUUCUUGUUGAACCAGUCUGAAGUUAACAUGAAUUUUUGAACUGUUUACCUCCCUUGUAUUUGUAAGAUAAAUAAUCAAUUGGCCUUAUGUCUUCCCAACUUCAAAUUGCAUUGCUCCUCCUUAGGGUAAGACCAUAUUUAUCAUCUCAUAAUUGCAUGAGAACCUUUACAUAUGUAUAUGUUUCAUGCUUAAAAUGGCACAAACAUCUCAAUCAAAUGAAACCAACAUCUCAAUAUCCUUCAUAAAGAGCCCAAUCCAACCCUUACAUUCAAACAGAGAGCUUCCUCCCCUAGGUCACUGGUGAGUCUAAUUACAGUAUGGAGCAGUUACCUAAUGUGUUUCCCAACUCAAGAAAAUGCUCAUUCAGUCUGUCCCUCCUUAACUUUUCACGGUCUGCCUUCUGAACUUUUCUUGCUGCAAUUGAAUCCUUUGCUUCCACUUCAGUUCUUUGUCUGCAAACCCCAAAUAAAGAGAUUUAAAAAACCAAAAAAAAAAACACGGAAAAGCAUUAAGCGGCAUAGUAAAGAAAUAGCAAAUUAUUCUUCCUAAUCCACUAAAAAAACACAAAAAUUGCAAACCCAAGUAGGGUUACAAUUUGCUGGGGUUUUCUUUUUGCCUUUUUUCGAAGAAAAUGUAGAACUUCCAAAUUCUAAUUAAACUAUGUCCCAAACACAACAAAGUUACAUUUCAUAAAUGUCAACACAAACAUCCAAUGUAAUAAGAAUAAAGCUACAGACACAAACUGGCUCUUGGACAAGCUUCUAGUCUCUCUAGUCCCGUCAUAAUGCUCACGUUACCCAUGUAAAAUCAAAAUUCACUAACAUUCUUCACUUGAGCACUUGUAAUUCCUAAAAUCCAACCUAAUCUCCUGACUCUCUGUUCGGAUUAUUCUACUUAACAAAUGUCGAAUCAACGUUCAUGACCAUGAACUUGCGAGGGUGAAAAAUCCAUCCUCAUCCCAUACAUUCCAUCAAAUACAAUCUGAAAAAUUCAGAGGGCAAAAUCAGAAAAAUCAUCAAACCUGGCUUCCGGCAAGCGAUUAUUGGAGGAGGGCAACGAAAGAGGAUUGGAAGGGGCUAACUCUGGUGCAACUGAUUGCGUGAAAUCAUCAGCUUUCCACUGAUCCAUCAUAACUCUCUCACCUCAAUUCUAGGGUUUCUG